UCCGCAGAGGUGAAAAUGACAAAUACGGAAAAGUUCAAGCAGUACUCGACAAACAUAGCAGAGCGCAAAAGGGCGGAGUGAUGGGAAGGAAAUAAGCAAACCUCAGGUUACCUCGCUCAUGCGGGACCCACGGCAAGGGAAGGAGCGGAUUGGUCCGUUCGAAUUUUAAGAGCAUGACACCGCGACCACCGGUGCCGUCACCGCCGGCUGCGGGCCCUUCGCUGACACUGACCGCAGCAUUUUUAUUUCAUAUAAUCCCAAUAAAUUUUCUUUUAUUUGGGCAUAAUUCCAGUUCUCUUCAGGUCAUAACAAACGACAAUAAUGACUGAGAAAUUGUAAUGUAAUCCUUUUGUCAGGAGUGAUUACGAUUUUUUACUUGCAUACCUACCCAACAUUUAUGGAAUCAACAAUAAGAUCACAAACUAAAUGAGUAUAGUAGUUAUGUAUUUUAUAUGUAACUCUCAGCAAGAAUGUUAAAUAGAGCAGAGGAGAUCCAAUCCAAUAAAUGUACAAACUGCUUUCUAAAUUGAGCAGAAAGAGAAAAUGGGAGCCCAGAUUUACCAGGAACCUUGAAUGGCCUGACGGAGAAGAUUUGCGGGUGGGAAUCUUUAUCACACUUUUUUCACUAGUCGUCUCUUACAGAUCCAUGAUCGACUACUGAUCAAAAUUAGUUUCCUACAAAAUCUUGAUGCACAAAUAAUUGCCUUUUGGGAGCUUUACCCUAUUUUAUGUACCUCAUUCUAUAAUUAACAUACAAGGAAAGGUGGGAUUAAGUUCCAUACAGGCCUAAUUCCCUAGUCCUGUGUCUGAAUCCCCACCUGACCUGCGGAAACACCUUACUCUAUGCACAUUUUGUGGAAGUCCUGCUCACCAAUAUAUUUACUGGAGGUGCGGCCUCACUUGCUGUCAGUAAAAUCUGCAUCAAUCACAUCACCGUUGUCGGGACCCUUACCAGGUGAUUCUGCAGAAGAUCCAGCACCAUCCGCAGAAGCAGGUCCAGCUCCAGCAGCACCUGGUUGGUUGUAAAGUGACUGCCCAAGCUGCAUCACCUCCUGGUUCAGGGUAGUCAUGGCAUCCUUCAUGCUCUGGGUCGAUCCACCGGCAACAGCAUCUUUAAGCUCCUUGAGCUUUGCCUCCACCUUUUCCUUGACAGAAGCAGGCACUUUAUCUCCGAGCUCCUUCAGUUGUUUUUCGGUCUGGUAGAUCACAGAUUCAGAUUGGUUCUUAGUAUCGAUGGCUUCCCUUUUCUCCUUGUCCUCUUUGGCAUACUUCUCAGCCUCCUUGACCAUUCUCUCCACCUGAUCGAUACAAGGUACAUCAGAUCCAUACAGACAGAAUAGAAUGAACUUGCAUUUAAGUUUCAGAAUCAUUUCUAUAAAACAAUGAAACGGUUCCAAGACACGAAGGCAGAGAACAAAUUUCCUAUCUUAAAUAUGCAGUUGGUGGAUUAGAUAUUCUCACCAUGCAGUAAAAGCUAAUUUCUGCCUGAAGUGGUGAACAAUGAGCUUACCUCAUCACUGGGCAAAGUACUAGCCCCGGUAAUCGUGAUGUCUUGUUUCUUCCCAGUGCCCUUGUCCACAGCAGUAACAGAAAGAAUGCCAUUGGCAUCAAUGUCAAACUUGACUUCGAUCUGUGGGACCCCACGUGGGGCAGGUGGGAUACCAUCAAGACGGAAGCUGCCAAGUGAUUUGUUGUCCCUCACAAACUCUCUUUCGCCCUGAAGAACAUUUAUCUCGACACUGGUCUGUCCAUCAGCUGCUGUAGAAAAGACUUCUGAUUUGGCUGUUGGCAAUGUUGUGUUCCUGGGAAUGAUCUUUGUCAUCACCCCACCCAAUGUCUCCAGACCAAGAGACAGCGGUGUAACAUCUAGAAGAACAAUAUCACUGACAUCGCCAGCCAAUACCCCUGCCUGCAGUAAGCAAACAAUACAAAGUUGAGCAUAGCCUUCUCCAAAUAAAGAUCUGUAGUUGGUGUGACCUUCUACUUCACACAUGUAUAUUUUCCUUCAGAGUCAAUGCUAAACAUAGCCUUUGAAAUUCCAUUACCUUAUGAAGGUGAUUAAACAUGUAAAACAUCAUUAAUUAAAUAUGUAAAACAUCACGCCUUCUUUCUCUUCAUUAGCAGAUUAAAAAGAUGAAUUUCUUGAACAGUCAAAAUUAUAUACCUAAUGGAGCAUAUCAGACAUCAAAGUGAAUGACAAGUCUCUUCAGUCUUAGGACAGUAAUCCUCACUAACAUUUCUUACAUUAACUCUUUUUCUUAUUCAACCAGCAUUAGUUAUGCCGACUUCAAGUAGAGUAACAUUGUCAACAGAGCCUGUAUCUCUCAAUAUGGUGUCAAUGAUAUAGUACGAAUCAAGCUGAGAAGGCUUCAUGGGAACACAUUGUCUGCCAACCUAGGUGUUGAAUUCUUAGUAAAAGUGAAUCAAGAGGCAGAAAAGAGCUACACUCGAAGGAACAUCUCUAAAGAUUUCAAGUUGAGUACAAAACAUAAUCGCUAAUCUAUUAGGCACAUUUCUCUUUAAAUAAAGAUGAAUUGCAGAAGUAAAAUGACCAAAGUAUGAAGGACAAACCUGGACAGCAGCACCGAGAGCGACAACCUCAUCUGGAUUGACAGUAACAUUAGGUUCUUUUCCUGUCAUCUUCCGAACAAGCUCCUGAACUGCUGGCAUUCGAGUUGAUCCACCAACAAGAAUUACUUCAUCUAAGUCCUUGAAUGAAAGUUUUGCAUCUUUCAGGGCAUUGUCCACAGGAGUCCUAAGCCUGAUAAUUCCAAGUAGCAAUUUGGAAGGGGAGAAAUAAGAAAAUAUAAGUACAAAAUCACACCCUAGAGCAUGCUGAAAAAGACCAAGUACAACAUUUAUGCUGAUGACACUUAUAAAUUGUGACCUGGAAAGUAAUUACUGUCAAGCAAAAUCAGAUUAAAACAAUAGAACAAUUAUAUUAGUAAAUUAGUAUUAGGAGAAAAUAAAGGCACGAGGGGAAUGACAACCAGCAUGUUACAAUAUUGAUUUGAAAUUAAAUAUCUCAAUCAGUUAACCUCAUCCAAACAUGGACAUGUAGAUGAUACCUAUCAAGAAGGUCGGAACACAAUUCCUCAAAUUUUGCUCUUGAAAGUGUACCCUCUAUAUGUUUGGGGCCAUCAGCAGUUGCAGUAAUAAAUGGUAAACUGUAAGAAAAGCAAAUAUGUGAGUCAUACAAAACCUCAAGUAAAAAGGAAAGAGAUACUCAGAAGAAUGAUAUUGCAAAUGCAAACUUGAUAGUAGAAGAACCUAACCUGAUAUUUGUCUGAGUCAAGGUAGACAAUUCCAUCUUGGCCUUCUCUGCUGUUUCAGUGAGUCUUUGAAGGGCCUGUUUGUCUUUCAAAAGAUCAAUACCUUCAUCUCUCUUAAAGUUUGCAGCAAGCCAGUCAACAAUUCUCUGUUCAAAACAUAAGUAUGUUGUAUAAAACUCAAUUGCAGAGAGCACGAGACUAUCGAGAAAACAUAUGCACUGACUAGGAAAGAGAACACAUGUAACACAGAACAAGAAAACAUUUGCAUAGAGUAGAAGAUAGACGCAUCAACUUGUUUGAAACUCUUCCAUUGAUGAAAAGAGAUUGAAGAAAAAAGGCCUUAAUAGAGGCUGCACUUUGUGUAAAAGAAAACAAUUAGUAAAGAAAUAUUUUCAAAAACAUUAAAUAAAACCUACAGAAUCAAUAAACUUUAAUGGGUUUUGGUUAUGGACCACUUAAGCUCUUGUAGUUUACUCAUGUCUAAAAAAACUUAUACAUUUUCAAAAACGGAAUAUAUAAGCUCCUCCCAUCAAGUUUGAGUUAACAGACUUUAGAGUCUGUUUAUAUGACAUGCUGACUCAUAAUAAACCAUUAAUAUAAUGACACAUAUCAUUUAAAUUUAAAAAAUGAUUAAGGUCCAUUUUAGUCCCUGCGAUUUUGGCUAUGAACCAUAAGGGCUUAAGUGCUCCAUGGCCAAAACCACAAGGGUUAAAAUGAACCUUAAUAUUUUUUUAAAACUUAAAUUAUACAUGUCAUUAUAUUAAUUUAUUUAUUGUGAGUCAACAUGACACGUAAGCAGAUUCUAACGUUUGUUAACUCAAACUUGAUGGGAGGGACUUAUAUAUUACGUUUUUGAAAACGUACGGGUUAUUUUAGACACGAGUAAACCAUAAGAGCUUAAGUGAUCCAUGAUCAAAACCACAAGGGCUAAAAUUGAACCUUAACCCAGCUUUAAUUAGUACAACAUUCAAAGUAUCCUUCUUCCCCCAGCCUUUUUUUCUUAUGUUGUUUUCAUCUUUAAAAUGAACUAUUUGCUUCACAAUUUUGAUUUAAACGACCACCUGAAUGGGAAGCUUAAUGGAUGUUACUAUAAUUGCAUAAAUAAUGAGAAAGUAUCAACGCUGUUUUUUUCUGCUCGAUCAAUGCAAUUUCAAUAUAAUGAACAAAUAUUUUUCAAUCCACGACAUUUUGCGUGAUAAGUAGUUUGUGAAUCUAGUGAAACAGAUUAGAUAAAAACCAUCCAUCUAGUAAGCGAGACCGAGUAGUUAUAUAUGAUAAAUCAAGCUCAUAAAAAGGCUUCCUACACAGAUAAUUGAGGUUCCUUAGAAAGAAAUAUGGCAUACCUUGUCAAAGUCAUCACCACCGAGAUGGGUAUCUCCGGAUGUAGAGAGCACCUCAAACACACCAUCACCAACCUCAAGAACUGUAAGAUGAUAUUACAGAGAUCACUAACUGAUAUGAGCUAACUUAUCUGCACAUUACAAAAAAGAGAACCAAAAUCAUUUUGACCAGUAGUAAACCAAAGAAAAAAAAUACCUGAAACAUCAAAAGUUCCACCUCCCAAGUCGAACACAAGAAUUGUUUCAUUAUUUUUCUUCUCAAAUCCAUAUGCCAAUGAUGCAGCUGUUGGCUCAUUGAUGAUACGAAGGACAUCCAGACCAGCAAUACGCCCAGCAUCUUUUGUUGCUGUCCUUUGCGAGUCGUUAAAGUAUGCAGGCACUGUAAUCACGGCUUUGGUAACCUUGUCAUUUAAAAAUUUAGAUGCAUCAUCCACAAGCUUUCUCAAGACCUGAAAAGCACAAAAUUGCUUUCAACAUCGGACCAUACGUAGCACUUUCAUUAGGCCAUACAAACUAGCAAAACUAAGAUUGCCAACUUGAACGAGAAAGAACUAAGGCUAGUUUCUGAUAGAAAAAAAGUGUAAAUGCAUACACAGUAGACAACUAUUUUUGAUAAUGCCAAGGUUUCUGACAUCAAAAUGAGACGUAUAUGCUAUUUGUUAUAAUUCCCACUUAUUUCCAAUAAGAAAGGUUUACAUUACGAAUUUAAAUGUGACUGUUCUGUCUCCAAAGACCAUAAGUAACAAUACUGUCAAUUUGAUAGAGUAGUAAACGUGUAACAAGAGACAACUUUAUGCAAUAAAACUAGAAACAAAAAUACAGAUAAGACGCUUCAGGAGUGCAUGUAGCAAUGAAACAAUGCUACGCGCUCCAAUCAUAACAACAAAGAGAAUAAAACUCCAAUCUAUCAGUUGGAGUUCAAAGGAAAGGAUACGUGGGACGGAGGAACUUACCUAGAAGCCAAUCACUGGACUGGAGCAAGUUCAUAAUAGAUAGUAUGAGACGAAGCAAAACCAACGGCAAAUCGAUCAAUACAAAGAAAGAGUAAAACUCAUGCCAAUUACAGGAUCCAGCAAUGGAUCAACCGAGUUGUAUAUCUUAAUGCGAAUGUAGACUAAUGGCUUAACAGAAGCCAGAGGAGGAAUAAGACUAACAAAAUAUACCUGAGCUGAUAUCUCUUCAGCUGCGAACUGUUUGCCGAUGGCAGGGCAAUCAAGCUUUACAUUCCCGUUCUCAUCCCUCACCACGCGAUAGGAGACUUGCUUCGACUCCUCAUCCACCUCUGACAUCUUCCGCCCGAUGAAUCGCUUCACCGAGAAGAAGGUGUUCUCCGGGUUCACGACCGCCUGACGCUUGGCGAUCUGACCCACAAGCCGGUCCCCGUUCUUGGUGUACGCCACCACGGAUGGCAUCGUCCGCUGGCCCUCGGCAUUAGUCACGAUCGUGGGCUUCCCGCCCUCCAUCGCGGCCACGGCCGAGUUGGUGGUUCCCAGGUCGAUCCCCACCACCUUUUCGCACACCACGCGGAGAGGAGCGUGGCUACCGCCGCGACGGCUGCUCCUCCGCAUGCUGAGGCGGGCUUCUUUGAUGUCGUUCGGACCGAAGAAGAGGAAAGCAGAGGAGGAGAAGGGCUUCUUAGUGGAAGGAAAGGUGGCGGCGGCGGUGGGGGAGCCGAGAGCGUGUAUUUGGGCGGAAAACGCCAUCGACGAUCGACGGAAGAAACCGUAGCCCAAAUUAGACGACGAAGACGGAGGCAGAGCUCUGUUCUGGUUUUCGACUUCGGCCAGGGGAUAAGGCGAGCAGAGGUGGAGUCGAGGGGUUUAAUGGGCGGUUGGUGGAGGCACGUGGCAGGUUCUGGAAUGUCCUGGGAAGGUCGAAAAGGUUCAGUGAGGUAGGAAGCCGACAACGGAAAUCUCGAAGUCGCAACAAAUACUGGCCAGUGUAGCUUAAGCGCAUGAAUUAUUAUUGCAGACACGCUGGCUUCGAUCACAUGAAUAGCCCAAACAAACAAAUACUCACAACUGUCCCUUUUUUUUAAUAUGAAGAAAUUUAAUUGCCAACAGCUGAUGAAGGUAGAGUUUGUGAUUUGUUUGUACAACCACCAUGCAUCUUUUGCGUGGCAUAUUCGCAGUACAGAGUCUCCCAGUUGUUUCUCUGUUGGGGGCAAAAUUAAAAAGAGAUAACUAAAAGUAUCGCUUUUAUGAAUCUAAGAUAAUAGAAUUAUGAACUUCAUGUAAAAGGCUGUCGAUUCUAGUAAAAGUGAAUUUCAUUGAACAAUAAUCUACAAGGUGAUUGAAUUCAAUAAUUCAUAGAAACAAAUAGCAGAAUAUAUAUAUAUAUAUAUGUAUAUAUAUAUAUAUAUAUAUAUGUGUAUAUAUAUAUAUAUGUAUAUAUAUAUAUANNNNNNNNNNNNNNNNNNNNUAUAUAUAUAUAUAUAUACAUAUAUAUGUAUAUAUAUAUAUAUAUAUAUGUAUAUAUAUAUGUAACAUCAAUGUGUGUAUACAUUUUACAUACACGUGAUAAUCUAACCUGACUUUCCGGGUUGCUAUCAUCUUCAUCAUCGCAUGGCAUGGGAUGGACUAGCUAGUGGCGAUCACUGAAAGAGGAGUACAGAGUUGAGAUGUUCAUUGCAAGAAGACACAAAAAAAAAUCAAAAUAUAUGAGUGUCUUACACCUACCUACGAUUAAUAGACACAAGAAGACACAAGUUGAGAUGUUCAGUACAAAGUAAAUCACACAUUCUAUGUGUGGUUUCAGGUGACAGACUUUGAUUGAUUACAAGCAGAAAGCAGGUGCAAAACAAUGUUGAAAUGAUAUGGGACCGAUCACCUUAAUGGGUGGUGGUGGCAGAAUCACUAGUGGCACUACCCAGCUAUGCAUGCGAUCUGAACAGGUGUAGAUAAUGUCAUGGUGCUCGUCAUCGAAAUAAUUGCCGGUCCUACACAGCAAGGAGAUCAGCGACUGAGGUGCUUGGCACUGAAUCAGGGACGUCAGGAUCCUUGGGAUCGAAGUCAUCAGAAGACAGCAUCGGAGCGAUCCCAUGUUCGUCCAGUCUCCCAUCAACGUACACCACGUGAAUUUGCACGCCUAGUGGAUCCGACAAAGCCUUGAUAUAUUUGUGGAAGCGAUUAUUCCCGUCACUCGUGGGCCAAAUAGUCUGACGACGAAUUCCUUGUGCCUCAAGUUGUCUAACACGAUGCACCUUAAAGAGGGGCAGAACUGCCCAGCAACAGCAGGCUAUAUUAGAGAACACGGAACGAAGAGAAGCAGCACAUGGAAUUCAGUAAUGCUUAUGCUUUAAUGUUCCUCACUUGAAGUCAAUUGUGUCUGAUCACUUGAAGGCUAUAUUGAACAGCUCAACAAAUAGCAAAAGAAAAACUAUUCUGGAUUGGUUAGCUAAACGAUCAGAGGCCGUCGAUCUCUUCUGUGUUAAAAUGUUUUCUUUUGAAAUGGUUAAUUUCUUAAAGUGCCACUGAAGGCACUAGUAUGCAGGGAGAAUAUGCUGAUAACUUAAUAUAAAAUCAUAAAGAAAAUUAUCUAACAAUAUACUAUUUGCAUUUCAGAAGGGAAAUUAAGAUAUUACUCACUGAUAUCAUGCUUACCAAGUAAAUUUCAUUAAAGUUGGUCCGAUCCUCACCAAACUGAGAGUUUCUAGUCUUACAUUGCUCGAGACUUGCAAAGAUAUGGUCUCUUUCAACUUUGUCUAGCUUUUCCCAGAUAUGCUGCUGCUUUGAACAACACAAUUAAGCAUGACACUUUCCUUGAUGUUAGCUGAAAAACAAAUAUAAUUUAGGACUACUUAAUCAUUAACAUUGUAGAAAAAGCAUAUGAAAAAAAAUCAUUAUGUGAUCAGAUAGGCAAACAGAAAUCUCCUAUAGAAUUUUAUCUCAUCUUUUUGAACACGUCUGAAGGUAGCAUAAUCAGUGUCAAGAAUCUGCAAAUGUCUCACUAGAAAACAAGAUAUAGUAAAACAGCAUCCAUUGAAUUAAUUGACGCUUAUAGUCUGUUUCCAAUGCUGAAAGGUUCUCCUGUGAUAAUGACAAUGGGUGACAACAACGAUUCCGAGUUUGUAACUAAAUUUGACUACACAUUACCCUCAACAAUUCAAAUAUAUAUAAGAUGAGCCAGAAUACAUCAAUCAGCUGGACCAACUAUGAAUUUUCAUACUACAAACCCCAUUCUCAAAGGUCUCAAGAAUCACAUGCAAGAAAUAACUCAAAAAGGUUACAAUUUUUUCAGAUGGGCUUGAGGGAAUGUAAAGAAGAUUAGUGGAAGCAUCCAACAUGUGGAACAAGGGCACCAAAAUAAAACAUUUGUACAAGCAAAUCUACAUGAAUUGAAAUUAAGUUGAAUCCUUCUCUCAACAGACGAAAUUGAAGAAACAGGGUGCGAGAAUACAGAGUGAAGAAUCUAAAAGAGAUGUUCUCAGUGCCAGAUAACUGAAACCAUCAGAAGUCAAGGUAUUAGUUUAUUACAAUGAAUCAAAGAUAUCACAGGAGGUAACAUAAGAUGCAGGAAUCAGGAUCAGAACAACCAUAACUUCCAAGGAUCAAUUCUAGCUAUAGCAUUUAACUGUCAUGUUGAAGAUUUAUAUACAAGAAAGAAAAACUUGAAUAAAAUGUUCGACGAAAUUAUAAACCAAAUUGACUUAUAGCUCGGAGAUGCAGGCAAAAACUGUCAUGAAAUAAAGAUCCAGGAAAACAAAGACAGAAAAAAUGGUACAAUUUUAUUGUUCAAUUCUAUUGUAAGAGAAAUAAUGGCACAAAUUUUCCUACAAGGAAAGCAUGACGUUGAACUAACCGGAUAGCAGACGAGAGAGGGGAAAGAACCAAGGCCAAAGAAAUAAGUAUGUCAAUCAAGUGAGAGGCAACCUCCAACAAGCCAAAGAUACCAGCACAAAUAACGUAUAAAGGCGGGAAUAAAAGAUCAUUCUAGCUAACAACUCGCUGCAAAUCUUGUGGGUUCCGAUAUCCUCAUGCUAGAAUGACCUUCACGAAAAAUAUUCCGUAAAUUUAUGACUAGCAAGAAAUAUCUGUUAUCUUGGUGCUGGUGAAGAAUUCUAAGAGACUCAGCAAGAAAGACUCAAAACGUUAAAGGAAUAUUAGGACCCACAGAAACCAAAGAUAGUCGAAAUGGUAUAAAUACAGCUUGUAAUGGCACAAGUUCUACUGCAAGAGAAGCGCAGUGAUACAUCGUCUACAUGGCAGUCAAUAGAGGGGAACCAAGGCCAAAGAAAUAAGAUGUUAUUUAAGCGAGAAACAACCAUCCAGAAUCCAUCAUAACAUCAAUAAACCAAGUUAAGCUGAAACACAAGAUAGAAAGAAUCAAGAAAACGUAAUGCAAGGGACAAUGACAGAUCACAGACAACCAGAGGAAUCAGGAAGCGAACUAUGAUAGCUGCAAUGCAACUCCAAUGCCUCGUCACAGCACCAAGAUCUUGACAAAGCAGGACCAAAAGAAUCACCAUUCAAGAUCCACUUACAAUAACUCCAGCAUCGAGCCAAGAAACGAGCGCAUCACCUUAUCUCCGUACUCCAGAUCCCGCGGCACGUUCUGCUCGUUCCUCUUGGGUUCCACGAUCUAUUGUUUCGCGGCAACAAUAGAUGCAAACUCAUCAGAGAAAAGCAUUCGAGAAACCGUCUCAAGAACCAGAUGCAACUCAAGAGAAGAGAAGAAGUACGAGAUUGAACGCAAUGAUUGAAUUCAGAAGUCGCUUCCAGAACUCGAAGCAAGUGAAGAGAAAAGACGAUGUAUAAGAUCAAGAGCAUUACCUUAGCUACGUCUUCGAGUUCCUUCUGCCCGUUCUCCUCAUCUCUCCCGGGAACCUCGAUCUUUGGUUUCAGGGCAACAAGUAAUUGAAACAAGUAAGCCCAUAAGGAAGAAUCGUUCAAGAACACAAAGAAGGCUGAGAGAAGAGGCGAAGUAUGAGAUCAAGAACAUUACCUUGCCUCCAGAUUGCACCUCCUUCCGCUCCUUCUCCUCUUUCCUCUCGGACUCCUUCUUUCGUAUCCAGAAGCAAACCCAGAGGAGAGGAACAUUCAAGAAACCGCUUCAAGAAAGUGAAGAAAAUCAAGAGAAGAGGCUACAGGAUCGAGCGCAUUACUAUCGCUCCACGAUGGAGCUCCUCUUGCUUCUCCUCGUCCCUCUCGGGCUCGUCGCUCUCCGGGUUCGCGGAACCUUGGAGGGGACUCGACGUCGCUGCUGCCUCACUCCGCUCUUCGGGGAUGAAAGGAAGACUUGUAUAAGCGGGGCAGGGGGGCAAAGGAGAGGCAAGGUCGAGUGAUAACCAGAUUACCCUCGUGGUUGGGCUCGGAACCGUAGCACGUGGCUCGACCAAUUUCACACGACCGACUUCUAAAUAUAGCGUGACCGUUUCUCGACUCCAUCACAGUCUCACUAGCUAUAUCAAAUAUCCGGAGCACAACAGAGUGCCAAGUGUAGUUGCACGAAUAUUAAAGCAUCCUUGUCUACGGCAACGUAGUGCUAAGCGCAUUUUUAAUUACAACUUUGGUUGUGCCAGUAUCGCACCAAGUGUAUUUGUGCGAAUUUUAAAGUAUUCUCGUUCACCACAGCCGACCUAUAAGUGCACUUGCACGAAUCUUAAAGCAACACAUGCCUCGACCGUUUCACACGACCGACUUCCAAAAAUAGCGUCACUGUUUCUCGACCCUUGCUAACUAUAUCAAGCAUCCGGAGCACGGUCGGGCGCCAAGCGUCGUUACACGACUAUUAAAGCAUCGGUGUCUACCGCAACCGAGUUCUAAAUGCAUUCGCACGAAUCUUGAAGCAUUUCAGGAUCAACUUUCGUUGGGCUCGGAUCAGCAAUACAAGGCUCGACCAACUCCACACGACGGACUCGUAAGCAUGGCGUGACCGUUUUCGACUCUUUCACCAGCUACAUCAAAUAUCUGGAGCGCUGUAGGACGCCACGUGUAUAUGCACGAAUCACCGCGUGCGAAGUGGAUUCGCACGAUUCUUAAAGCGAUUUAAGAUCACGUGAUCGCAAAACGGAUCUCAAAGCAUUCCAGGAAUGUAACUUGAGUCGAAGGACUCCGCCCUCCAUCUCCACGCCGUGGACGGUGUCUUUUCCGGUGAUCAUCAUCAUCAUCGGUCGAAGGACUCCGCCCUCCAUUCCAGGAAUGUACCGAUUCUUGUCGCCGUACGGUCGGAGUACGUGAAGAAUUGUCCAAUCCGAUACCAUCCUUAUACGCCAGCGAAAACCGUACACAACAACGGCAGCUCGUGAUGCAUGAGGUAGAUAUUACCUAUCCUUCCGCCGCUGUGACCACACGCCGAAGACAAAGGAAUGUCUUACACAGAUAAGACACAGUGCUCCUCCGUUUCACAAAGGAAUAGCCUUCUUUGUUCGUGGCGGACGAAGAAACAGUUUUGCUUUCACCUCCAACGUAAGCCUUUCCCAUCUCCAUCAACCUUUUCUUCAGCUGAUGUGACUCUUAAAUGGAGUAUCCCAUGUUUUCCCAUUUCCUCUCUGGAUUAUUCUGUCUCUUUGCAAGUGUUGCUGAAGGAAAGAAAGAUGCUAGAUCUGUUUCCACAUUAAAUGCCAGUCCUCAUGCCUCAAAUAUUCCUCUUUUGUUCGUAUGCCAAUAAGUCAAAUUCUAAAAGUUAGAAUUCACUAUUCUCUCUUGAGUCUUUUGCUAUCCUCCAAAGUCUCCAUGCUUGGGCUUUGGUUUGUGCUCCUUUAUUGGUUAUUUAAAUGGACUUUUAUCAUCAUAUUAUUUAAGACUCUAAGAAUGUGAUUUCAUGACCUUUGGAAUAUAGGAUACUUAAGUGUUUAGACAUUCGAUAGUUAGUGUUAGUCCAAAAAGAAUAAAUUGUUAAUUUAAAUUACAAAGUCAAUUCGAUCGUGUUGGAUUUUAAAUUUUGGUCCACUAUCUUACGAUAUAAAUCUUAAAGAGGUGAUUAUCAAAAAUCGACACUUGUAGUAGGAGAAAUAUUUUUUGAAUUGAAAAUGAUAUGAAGAAUAUUUUUUUAUUUUUAAUUUGUGUUGGCAUGAUAGAUUUAUUCGAUCUAUUUUAUCGUUUUGGAUAAAAAUAGAAUUUUAUUUUUUAUAGGGUUAUAGAGAAACCUAAACAUUUUUAUACAAGUGGGGUGGGAAUAAGAAUAUAUUACAGGAGUAGGAAUCAUCACCUCAUUGACUCUAAUAUGCAUAUAAAUUUUCUACCUCCAUGAUUGUGUUAAUGAUGUCAUAUUCAACUUAAAUAGGCAGAUGUUUCAAGUUAACUAAGGAAUGAGGUGUUGAUGGUUUAAUUAAUCAAUUAAUUUUUUUGUUCCCAUCCUCCUAGACUCAAACUUGUGUUGUUCAACAUGGUCAUGAUUGGAGCUGUCUAAUUUUGCUUACUCAAAUAUCAGAAUCAUUAGUUGCCAUGUCUGCUCAAAUCAUGCAACAUAACAUGGUUGGAAGGUCUGCUAGACUCCAACUAGCCUUGCUCUUUGUUACCUCUACAAAUUACUCCACUAAAUAUGCAAGCUUGUGAUGUUACCAAUCAACCAUGAUAAUUUGCAUUUUGUGGUGGCAUAAUUACCAGAAUGAAAACAGAUGAAAGUGACCUAAUCCUAGGGCCAUAUAUGACAAAAGACUGGUUGUCAUAUGCAUGCAUGUCAAAGAAGUCAAGAUUAGUACUUUUAAUACAAGGUUCUCUCCAAUAGUUAAAUGAGUUGCAGAUCCAUCUGUCUUGUACACUUAUUCUCUUUCAAGGAAUGAUGAUAGCACAAGAUUAUCUUAUCAUGGUGGCUUGAUAAGAGAAGAAUAUAGUAAGAAAUCAGUGGAGGAUGCUUAUGGUGUUGACUAAGGAAUUAGUUAGCAGUGUCUUCUCACUUUUGUGGGGUCUUCAAAGCUUCAAUGGAGACCUUCCACAUUAAUAUAUAUAUAUAUAUAUAUAUAUAUAUAUAUAAUUUUUCUGGUGAUGGGGUCUUCAGUUGAGUGUGUUCUAAUCAAGUCUUAAGCCACUCUUUGUUCUACAACAAGCUUGAUUUUUCUUUUUUUUUUUGUGUGUUUUUUGGGUUCAUAUUAGACUAUUUUUUAUUACUUUUAAUAUGUAUAAUAAGUACUUUAAGAGUAGUUCUAUGCAUUAGAUCUUCUACUCCCACUGUGCUUAGAUCAUAUGAAAUGGGUUUGAAUGAUUAAACUGUAACAUAUUAACCUCAAUCCACAAUAUUUUUAUGUUGAGAGGCCAAUGCUAAUUUUCCUUUUUUGGAAGAUUGAGUUACGUUUGUGAGAUCAUCCAUUAAAUGAAUAGAAUAUUCACUCUUUAGAUUGAAGUCUAAUCUUCAAACAAACUAAAUCCAACUUAAAUUUAAAGAAAAGUAAGUUUAACAACAAAGGAAAAGUAGAAAACAUUGAUUAGUCAGAACUAAUUUCCUUCACAUGAUAUUAAUUUCCUAUUAAUUCACUUUAUAUUUUUUGACCUCAUCUUCUUAUAAUUAUAAUUACGUGAAAAAUUAUGAUAUUAAAUAUUUGGUCCGAGUUUGAAUCAUAAAAAACUAAUUUUUCCAUACCAAUAUUUUUUUUUAAAUUUAAGUCUUCAAAAUAUGUGAAAAAGAGACUAAAAUAUGAAGUUAUUUUUUUUCACAUAUUAUAAUUAUAUUUUUCUCAAGCCUGAUAGGGGUAUUUUAGUAAUUUAAAUAUUAUUAAUUAAAAAAUAAAGAAAAAUAGAGAGAGGUGGUGGAAGUAGUAAGCGGCGGUGAACAGAGAGCGAAAGCGUGCUUCAGAGGAAACACAGCUACUUGGUGGGGGAAAGAACCAAAAAGCUAAAAAGAAAGAUCGAAACCCUACGAGAUCGGUGAGCUCUCGUCUUCUCCCCCCCCCCCGGCGUUCCACCCCUUGGAAUCCCUUCUACAUCUUCCCAAUUUCCCUCCUCCCCCGACCCUUAAAUCGUGGGAAAGCUGCUCGCUUGCCUCCGCGAUCAGCACCGCCGCUCGAUCCCGGCGCCGGUCGCUGAAUGCGGCCCGUUCAUGCCUCGAAUUCGUACCGAACGGAGGCGGUAAUCGGAAAAGUAGCUGGCUUUUGCGGGUGGCGUCGCCGUUGAUGGAGAAACCCUAGGUGGAGGAGGGCUGAGCCGGGAGGAGAUCGGAAGCAGUCGGUGUCUUUGGAGGUGAGAAACGAUGACCUGUGGGGUUCUCGGUGAGGUGAUUCCGUAGCUCGAGUGAGCUUCUCUGUGCUUUCGAUAGAAGUUCGCCUGAAUUGUUUGUUUUGUCGUGGCUUUGUGCUGAGCUCGAACCAAUCAUUUCUAUUCGACGUAUAAUUUCUGCGGGCUUCGAUCUGAAGUGUGAAAAUGUUGAUGUGCACCAGCUUGCAUAAUCUUGCCUUUUAUUGCUAUGUGGCAUUACGCAUUUAAUGGUAGAAAGUAGUUAACAUCACAGCUGAAUCCGCCGAUGGCUUCAAUUUGGUUCUUUAGCGCAACAACAAAAAUUGUCUCUUGUAUUGCUCGUUUCGAACGUUGUAAUUCUCAAGCUUGGUCUACCAGUCUAUGUCAUUAACGCCACAAUUUUGUGUUUUCUUUUUUGGCAUAUGGCAACUAGCAUUAGCGUGUGAGGAGCCGAAAGCAAGCCUGUUUGUAAGACGGGGACUGGGUAGCUGAAAGAUGCCUCCUUCACCCUCGUUGAGGCGCUCUCCUGUGAGGGAGCUCAGGAUGGAAAGUUCCCACAAGAGGGGGCACAGUUUUGAGAAUAGAUUUCCUCUCAAAGCCAAGGACGAUGAUCUGGUCCUGUUCAAUGAGAUGCAGAACCGUGAGAGAGAUAACUUCUUGCUGCACCCAUCCGAUGAUUUUGAUGAUUCCAUAUGUAAUGUCCUUAUCCCUCCCUUGAUUUUUGUUCUUUAGCUUUUCUUGUGCUUGGAUUUUUAUUCAUUCUCCUAUUGCUGGACCAUCAACUGUUUCUUCUCCACAUCAUCAGCAAAGUUGAGAUAUAUUUCGGAUUUCAAGCUCAACAUACCAGCUCAUGGAGAGAGCAGUGAUCUACUUAAUGCAGAUGGUGAGAAAAAUGACUAUGACUGGUAAGUGCCCCCAUGUAAGAGACUUUGCAUAUCAUCACAAAUUCUUAGCCUUUUCAUUGUGUCAGUAUGAGGCAGUUAUUCUCACACAAUGUCGAAUGGGCUAUUGCUAUGUUUUUGCUGAACUUUAAGCAUGUAACUAAAGCUAAGUGCUGGUUGUUAUGUAGACAAUUAUUAUAGCCCCCAUUCGUCUGAUCUUCCUUUUUGAGUCAAUUUUGGUAUAUUCAUGCUGCAGUUAGAUAACAAAGUCGUACCACCUGUUGUUGGUAGUUUAGCCAUGCGAAGUCAUGACAGGUUAAUUGUUUGUCACCAAUCAGGCUGCUGACUCCUCCUGAUACUCCCCUAUUCCCUUCAUUGGAUGAUGAUGAGCCUCGACCUGUUAAUGUGUCCAGAGGUAGAGCAAGAAGUCAACCCAUUUCAAUUUCAAGAACAUCUAUGGUAAGAUCCUGUUUCGUGAUAUAAAUCUUGUAUGGGAUACUUUUUUUUUUAAUCAUUUCAUCUUUUCUUCUCUUUUGCUGCCACUGUAUUUGACAUUCUUCUGUGGUUAUAGUGUGAAAAGACUCCAAGAACAAACAGAAGCAGUGCGAGUCCACGUCGAUCAAGUCCAUCUCCAGGAUCUAGUUAUAAUGUUGUUCAUUCAAGAACUAGGCCGUCUUCAGCUCCUCGCUCAAGCCCACCUCAUGUUCUUCGACCAACAACACCCUCACGAAGACCUUCCACUCCUCCAGCCAAGCCUUCAUCACCUGCUCAAAGAUCUUUGACUCCCACGUUACGUAGGAUGAGCACUGGUUCCAGUGGGCAGGCAUUUGCUGGUAAAAGGGGAACAUCCCCCAUAAAGGUGAACCAAGGAAGUUCUGCCUCCCCAAAGUUGCGAGGAUGGCAAUCAAGUCUUCAUGAUUUCUCCACAGAUGCACCACCAAACCUUCGAACUUCUCUGACGGAUCGGCCAGCAUCACAUGUGCGGGGUUCGCCUCCAGCAUCUGGAAAUGGAAGGAAUUGUGUGUCAAAAUUCGGAAGGCAGUCAAUAUCACCAUCUUCUUCUAGAAGUGCCAGAUCGUCACAUAAUAGUGAAGGAGAUCACUUUACCUCUAUUUGUAAGCCAUCUGCAGCAUCUUCCUGCGAAGAUGAUGUUGAAUCACAUGCAUCCAUGGGAGUUUCUCCUAAUGCUGCUACAAGAAAAUAUAGAGAUUUUGCAAACACUAGAGCUAUGGGAUUCUCCAAAAAAAAUUCCAGAUCUCCUUCUUCAUGUUCUGCACCAAAAAGAUCUUUUGAUUCAGCACUUAGACAGAUGGUAAGGUGUCAUUUAUUGCUUUUAUCUGCUGUUCUGGUCAUAUCUUCGUUAUGUUUGGUGCAAGCAUUACUUUUCCAUGUUGCAUUAGCAGCAUGUAUGAUCUCCCUAUACUCAAUUUCUUUUUUCGGGGACUUCUGUUGGCCCUUGAACUACAGCAUUAUUUUAAAUUUCAUUUCGUGCUGCAAUCAACCUGCCAGAAUUCAUCUCAACAUUCUCAUUUAUCUAUGUCAACUUUUAAAAUACAUCCUAUUUCUGAUCAUUCUAAUGCUUUUUUUGGUCUCGUAGAACACCCCUUGAAUUUAAGGCUUGUCCAGCUAUUGUGUAUGUGGUCACCUUGCAUGGAUAUAAUGUUCUUGUCAUUGUAAUAUAUAAUAUAUAAACAUGAAGGUAAAAAGUCUUAUGCAUUUUAUCACUGUUAAGAAAUGGGAAAUUCUCACGUGUUUUAAAUUGCUUAUGAAUUUCUUUAAAACUUGUUAGAUAUUUUUGUGUGUCUUCUGAUGGUUUGUUUACUUUGCUGAGGAGUACAACUACUUGUGUGUGUGCACUUGGUAUUGAUCUGUACAUUUUUCAAGUUUCUCUGUCCACUGUAGGAGUUUUCUCCAUUUCUUAGUCUAUUUAUUAUGCACAUCUUUGCUGUUUGAUUCAAAGCUUUGGUUAUUAUGCAACUUCUUGUGUUCUAUUCAUGCUGCCUCUGUUGUAUAUGAAUGGAGUAAGUGAGAAAUGUGCUUGUCUUUGCACUUACUGAAUUUCUAUAUUCUAUUUAUGCGUAGGAUCACCAUAAAACUCCUCAAAACAUGUUCAGGCCAUUGUUAUCGAGUGUACCUGCCACCACAUUUUAUGUUGGAAAAGCAAACAGUACGCAUCGGCCCAUGUUUUCUAGGAAUUCUUCUCAUACAAAUAGUAGUUAUGCGAGUUCUGAGCUUGGCGCUAGUGUUGCUCCUUAUUUGGAGGAUGGCGACCAUGAUCAGAGUGAAUGGGAGAAGAAAAAGGAUGCUGGUUUCCAGGAUGAAGUCUUUAUGUUUGAUAAGUUAGAUGAGAUAGGCGAAGAUACUGGUAAUGACACUUGUGCUGCAAAUCUUCAAAGUAGUAAUGAGUUCUUUGAUGGGUGUGUGACCAACAAAGAUGGCUCUAUUUUGAAGUGUUCUACAGGUGAUGGUAAUGCAGUAAAUACAACAAUUGCUUGUCCAGGUUCUUCAUGUGCUGCUGAAUGUUCUGAGAUUGUUUCUGCAGAAAAAAUGAGUAUUUGCUCAAAAUGUGGAAGAAAAUUCAUGGUCAUUUAUAAGGAUAUGGAUGUGGAUGUUUGUCAAGAAUGUUCUGAUGCAUAUGAGUUAAUAGAGUCGGAGGAACCUGGGACUAUUCAAGUCCCAAUGCGAGACGAAGGAAAUUACAAAAUGGGCCAUAAGGUGCAAAGCCAAAUGGGAAUGUCUGCACACUCUGAGAGUAAAAACGAACUCAGGCCUAGGCAACAUGAACGAAGCAGUGAACAAGCAGUAACUAAUUUCCCUGCAGAUAGUGGAUUAUAUUUGCUGGUGAGCGAUAAAAGAGAAGAAAUCCCAUCUAAAGGAGAAGUAUUCGUACCAGGUGAAUUAAGUGCUUCAAGAUCUAGUGAUAAACAUGAAUAUCAACAAAACCUUCCUAAACAGGAAGUAUUUGUACCAGGUCAAUUAAAUGCUCCAGAAUCUAGCGAUAACUGUGAAUCUCUGCAGGCACAGCCAACUCCCAGUAUAAGCGACAAGGUUGACAACUCUGAGGGCACAGGCAUUGCGGUACUUCUAGCGCAUAGGUCAAGCAGCAGAAAGUGGCCUGUCAUGCAAGGAAAAAUUUUUUCUGCUGCAAAUAUACCUUUUUCCGAGCCAUCUUAUAAAAGAGAUAAUAUGACUGCCAUGAAGCGCAGUUUUGGAAGGGAUAGUUCUUCUGCUUCUUCCUCAAUUGAUCUGGGAUCGUCUGGACAAUUGGAUGGCCGCAUUGGGCGCCAAUUAAGCAGCAGGAAGGGUGAGAUGGAAAACGUGAGAGGUGAAAGUCAUACUAGCGCCUGGGGUUGUGGUUCACAUUCAGAUACUAAUAGUACGGUCACAGAAACACUGGUUCACCCUCAAAAUGAAUCAAAAGAAGUGUCUUGUAGUUUUGUCAAAGUCAUUGAGAAUGAUGCUGUGGUAGAGAUAUUAGUAGAUGCUCGAGAGCCUAGUAAUUCCUUUGGAGAUGCAGAUUUGAAUGCAUUAGAGCAUAUAUCUAUGGAGCAAGCUGUUACAGAUGUAUAUUCAAAUGCAUUAGAUCACACAUCUAUCGAGCAAACUGUUGUAGACAUAGAUGUAUCCAACUAUACUGGUGCAUCUUUGGCAUCAAAUGACCUGUUACUGCAAUCAAAAGAAGAACCUGGUCUUCAAUUGCAUGAUACUACUGUAUCAAAUAAUUUAGGUGAGAGCUGUGACUUGUGUGAAGACACUACCCAAGUACUUUUUAACAACAGCGAAAGCAACAUUGAAGACAUAGAGGCACCGGUUGCUACAACAGAUUCAUGUUCUAUCGAAGACAAUUAUAUGCUGAAUGAUACUGGCCAUCAAAAUGGUUUCUCUGGUGUUGCAACAGAUAGCCCUUCUGCCAUGAUCUCGGAACAGCAAAAUGAUAAAGUCACUUUGCAGGAUGAACAAGAUGAUUGUACACCUGCUCAAGUGCCAAAUUCUGUCGAGAAUUUUCAAGAAGGUUCAAUUUCCACAACAUCUGACAAAGAUGUGUUGCUUUCUGAAUUAGAAUCUAUUUCCAAGGAUCUUUCUAAUGGUACGUAGCUUUACUUGUUAUUUCACAUCUUGUGAAGAGCUUUUCUAGUCAAAUUGUGAUUGCUUUUUGUGUUUAUAAGUCAAUAUUUUUACUCUCACUAUCCUGGAAUGUAAAACAAAUUUAAUGUUUACUCUGUGCUUGAUGAAUUCUUGUCAGAUUCCAGCUGUUGUAGAUAUGUGUUGUUUUUGCUUUUCCAUCUUUUUUUCUAUGCAGCUUCUUGGGAUUUGUUGAACCUAGGAAAUUAAUUCUCUCUAUAUGGUGUUUUUACAGUAUGUGCUUUGUCUAGUACACAGGACGAAUAUCUGAUAUCAUUGUUUUCUUUUGUUACUGACACUUGCUUCUCACAGAACAAGUCAUGACGGUCGAAGCUCCAAGGAAACAGAUGCAAAGAAGUUUUACCCUGGAAGAAGCAACAGAUACAAUACUCUUCUGCAGUUCUAUCAUCCAUGAUAUGGCCUACAAAGCUGCAACAAUUGCGAUCGAGAAGGAGCUGGCUCUAUAUGAGUCUUCUCAUCAAGCAGUUACAUUUGUGGGAAGUUCUGUUUCCAAUUGGAAGGAUUUGCGAAAUAUAUCCAACAAAUAUAUUCAGAACUCACAAAAGGUUAGACGAAAAAAACCAGAAACUGCUGAAAAGAUGCCACUUACGGAGGUGGGAAACAAUGUCAGAAACUCAGAGAUUCCAUCGUGCAAUGCUGAAGCUCCGCAAGUGGUUGACAGUGUGAAGCCCCCAAAGCUGGAGUCGAAGUGCAACUGCACAGUGAUGUAGGGAGUUUCUACUGCCUUUGGUUGAUACGAUCAACAAUCAACGGGCAAAUGCAUUAUUUGUUGGAUUUCCUUCCUUCAGUAUAGCAUUAGCACCGGUUUCUAUAUUCUUCGGACGAGGAGGUGUUUAUAAUUCACGAGUAGCAGCACAUGAGCUUCCAUCUUGAUUCAUUCUCGGGAAUAUGCCACACAAACCUGUAAAGGGAAUACCCCUGGCAUCAGCUCAAGAGGGAUCAGAGGUUUGUGGCAUGCUUCCACAUCUUUCUUGCUAGAUCGGUUGUAUACUCUGAUGCUGUUCUCCUGUCUCUUCAGGAGGAAUGCGCCUACGGUAUUCUUUUGUAAAUUUUGUUCUUGGUGUGCUUCUUUAUGGCUUUGAAUCAGUCAAAAAGAUCACGAGUUGAAGUGGCUGUAAUGGUUAAUGAACAUUGAACACCUCUUUCAUACCUAGUCUUUGUUCUUCGGAGAGGAUUGUGAUAGAUUUUAGUUUUAUCCUCUUAUCUAAUCGCGUCUUGAACAGCAACAAAACGAAAUACAGGAAAAGCUUGCUGGCCAGCUUUUCGGUAUCUUGAUCCAAUAAAUUUUUGUUUUUCGGGGAGGAAAAUUUUCAUAUUUGUUCGUCAGGGGGAUUAAAUGUGAGUAACAAUUUCUUUGCAAAUUGAACUCAACAGCUGGAUUGAUUUGGUGAUUUGAGGCAAAUGGUUGAUGAGAGGCAAAUGUGUUUGUAUAUCUAAAUAUUUAAAGGGAGAUACAUCUUAUAUUAAAAUUUCAGGAUAAUCCUUUGUAUUUUUGAACAUGACCUUAGUUUGCUAUUUAUAAUUUUUAUUAAUUCUUUAAAAAAAUAUUAUUUUAUCAUCGACAAUCAUAAUAUUAUUGAUUUUAUUUUAUUUUAUUCUCACAAUCUCUUAUUUCAUCUUGCUCUUUACCUGUCAACAUCAUCGAGAAUAGUAUAUUUAUGUCGAUAUAAAUAUAAAAAAAGUUUUAAAAUUAAAUUAUAAAUAAUAAAAAAGGGAUGAUAAAUAAUAGUAAUAUCUUAGCGUGACUCGUCCGCUGCAGCCCAUUGUGAACUUUAUUACCGGUUUUACCCCUCACUACAGCGACGAUCGAGAUGAUUACCGAGACAACGCGGGCCGUCUGAUGCGGUAAUAUAUAGCUUAUAGCAUGGCAAACCAAACCAAAACGAGCCGAACGAGUUCAAGCCAUGACCGGCCGUAAUCAAACAUCAAACCCCGAACCAAACGGCGGACGGCGAGCGGCCGCGAAUGGUUGGUUCCUCCUCCUCCUAUGACUCUCGGUCGCCCCUUUUCUCAUCGAUAGUGCCCGCCAUGCUAAUGGCGAGGCCCUCGUCCCUCGUCCCAUGAGUUUAUGGCGGGCUCGUGAUGCUGAAUCUGCAGCCAUUCCGCAUGAAAGGCAUGCUGGAAUUAUCAUCUUAUAUUAUGUGGUUUUGAUAGUAUUCCAGAAAAAGAAUGCUAAUUGCUCACUCCAAAAAGAUAUGGAGACGGAGUUAGCAAGAAUAUCUCUUAAACAUGGACACCGGAAUGCUGAUUGUUUACCCUAGAAAGAAUUAUGGAGAAGGCUCACUCUAUCUCCUUGCAAACUCGCUCUUUACUGGAGAAAGAAUUUUGGAGAAGGCCGAUGCGGUUUACUUGCAAGGUCACUCUUUUAUCACGACCCCUUUAUUGGUUUUUAAAUAGUCACCUUUAAAGUUGUAUGCCAGCAAGAAGGCUAAUUAUUCCUCCUGCGGGAGGCCAAAAGGAGGAAACGUUGUUCACCUUUUUCUAACUAACAUCAAUAAGCGUAGUGCUGCGACUUUGGUGUUAGUUUGAUCUUGGCCCUCAGUUUUCUGAGAUUUUAAGGACUUGCUUAGGAUGAAAAUUGUUCUAUUUAAGCCUGGUCAACUUUUGGUCGUUGAUCUAGUGGCUUGUUGGAUUUUUAUUUGCUUGUACUUCUUUAGUGUAUUUUACUUUAUUUAAUAUAAGAAUGUUCUGCAUGAAAAUUACAUUAGGGUUGAACACAUGGUUGUAAGGAUGCUUGCAGAAUUAGAAUGUGUACCUGUUUAGGUCCAAGUUUGACCAGAGAAGGGUUUUUAAUUAUUUUUUAUCAGAUUUUGUUAAAGAUGGAUUAAUGGCAACCAUCAGUAAUUGUGACAAGGAUUUAAGUCGUAGAGCACACUCUACACUGCCUCUUUGUCUGCAAGGGCACAACUGUAUUCAUUGAGUCUCUCCCGAUCCCAUAUUGGCAUGAGAUCAAUUCAUUGGAAUGCCCUUUUAUGGUUAUAUGAAUUCUUUUGACUAGAAUAUCACGUUGUAUUUGUUGAAUCUUGGAUUAUCAUGUAAAUUGCAAAAGAUGUGUUGCCAUUCUUUCUCCUGUGUUUGGAGAUUCUUACAUGUUACUGUAGUAUAAUUGUCUGUUAUAACUCGUAACAGUUUGACACAUGUAAUAUACUUCUACCCUCCCUGGAGAGCAGCUAUAACUUGUUUGCUGUGCUUUGCAGCUUUUGGCUGUCGCUCGCAAGAAUGGUUUGGUAAGCUAUCACUUAUCAAAUGGCAUGACUUUUUUCCUCUUUGCCUCAGCUGUUGAAAUAUGAGAGAGACUACAAAUUCCAGGUUGAAUUUCUGAAUCCUCUAAAUGGAGAGGCUUUGGACAUCACAAAAAUUGAUCAAUUCAGAUCAUUAGAUAGCUCUCUUCAAGAUGAUCAUGUUGUUCAGUUGUUGGUUUGCACCUCUUGAAAACCAAGGAAUUGAUGUUUCUUCAAUGUAAAUAUAAAAUAAAUGUCACAGUUUGUAGCUUGUAGCAAAUGUAAUACUUUCUAUGAACUUGCACCCUGUCAUUUCACCAAUCUGCGGUACCUCUUGCUAAGAUAAAUUCUGUACAAACUUGUUUAUGCACGAGAUAAGAAAUAAAGGCCUGAUUGUACAUAAUAAAGAAAUUAACUCAGCUUUUUCUCUUGUACUUUUGUUGUAUUUCACAACAAAAGGUAAUUUGAAGAACAUUGUCAUCAAAGAAUUAAAAUGAGGUAGCUAUGCAAACCAAAAAAGAGAGAGAAUUUUGAAUCUUAAAUGAUCGUCAAGUAUUCUUAGAUAAAAAAAAAAAAUUCUUUUCAUGUCAGUAUUAAAAAUUGUUGAAUUAAUAGCCUUAGCACCUGCCCAAUUUCCAUUUAGAGGGUCAAACAUGUGAUGCUCGUGUCAAAUACUGUUUUCUAGUCAUAUGAUCUGCAGGACAAUGACUAAAAGUGUUCAGAUGGUAGAUCAUUCUUGCCUUAAGAACUUUUGUCUUAUUCAUCCCAAUGCUCCAGUAUAUAGACUGCUGCAACUUUAACCGAAUGGUUUAUUUUUGAGAUCCAAGAACAAUGCUGGUGCGCAGUUUAUUUUUGGACAAUGGAAGUUGUAUGAGAACUAGAAAAGAGCGGAAUUUAGCUGGUGCAUAGUCACAAUUGUUUUGCAUAUGCAUGCAUCUAUUGAGUAAAAUUCAGUUCAGUGGAGGUAGUGCUACUUCUAGAUUUUGGUUGCGAUCUCAAAUUGCAUGCAUAUUUAUAUUUAUUCAAUUCUUUAUGUUUUCCAGGUCGGUUGCAUUACUUGUCUUGAAAAGGGGAAUGCUUGCUUGAGGUUUAUUUCCUUCGGAGAUGCAGCACAAAAUUUGAGUAUGUUUUCACGUACUACAUGGAACAUGUGCUCUGCUGGUAAAAUACUAUGUACUUCAGUAGAUAGACGCAAGAAUUAUGCCUUAUUUGGAGGGUAAGCUUUCUUGAGCUGUUAGCAAAAAUUUGGUUUGUCUUUUUGUUGGUUAUAUUUAUGGAUGACAACCCUUCAAUAAAUGCUUGCAAGGGUGGCAUAUGGCCAAACUGUUCUAGUAGUUCAAUUUUGUUUUCUUUUCUCUCAGGAAGGGUGUUGAAUUGAACUUGUGGGAUCUUGAAAACUGUAGCAAGAUCUGGACUGCAAAGCCUGUGAGUCAUUACAUUCUUUUUUAUGCAACUUAAGAAGUAUUUCUGGUCUAUCUUUUUUUUAUUAAUAAGGUUCUAUCAUUUUUCUCUUGGUUCCUGUGAAGCCUCCCUCCAACAGCCUUGGUAUAUUCUAUCCAACUUGGUUUACUACUGCAACUUUUCUGAGUGAAGGCAUCGAAAAAUUGUGGCUGGGACGAACAAUUAUCAGGUAUGGCAUUAGAGGAUCUUUUUCCAAGUUGUAGCUUACAAGCAAAAAAAAAAAAGCAGAUAUGUGGAGUCAAUCAUUUUUACAGGUCUCUUAACAUUUUUUCAAUUAUUGUAUGAGAUUGAGAAAAAUUUUGAAAGCCUUAAGUUCGAUUAUAUACUAAGGAUGACUGGCCAAUUUUUAUUAUCAACACUGCAUGCAUAUUUUGCUCGUUAACCAACUUACAGUUACUGGAAAGUUUGCAUAUGCUUAUUGGUUUUUCCUCUUUUUAUUGGUUAGUGUUGAAUAUUUUGUCACCAUAUGUUCUAUCUUUUGUAUAUGGUUAAUACCUCUUACCUCUCUUUGCUCCAGAACUCAAGAAAGCCAUGUAAUUAAUUGCUUGUGCACUUAAUUCUCUCUGAUAAUUAGUUUGACAUUACUCUUAUUUGUUAAAAUUUAUAUUUUGUGACAGGAUCGUCUUUAUGAUACUUCAGCACAAAGGAGACCUGUAAUUUCAGUUGACUUUCGAGAGACACCAAUUAAGUCAGUUUGUGAUGAUCCAGAUGGCUAUACAGUCGACGUAGGAAAUGGUUCUGGCUUCUGGGGACCUUGCUUCAUUUAAUAUGAGGACAGGUAAAGUCAUAGUUCUACAUGUUCGCUGUGUAGCUAUGCUGUUAAUUACAGUCAGCUGAUUUGUUCAUUCUCUUUUCUUUGUUGUUUCUGACGGUCAUAAUUUAUGAUUAUGAAAUUUCAUGAUAUAAGAAAGUUUGCUAAUUCUAUUAAGCUGGGUUCAUUUAUUUCUCGUGGUUGGCAAGAGCAAUGGCUCACGGUUACAUGUCGAGAAGGGAGGGGGAACAGGGCUUGCGAACUUGAGCCCUAAAUCUGUUCAAUUAUUUUUUCCUUUUUUUAUUGGUCAGACUGGACCACCUGAAACUUGGGGCAGUCUGUGUCCUGAUGUACACUCAGAGCGAUAUGUACGGCCCAUUCGUACCGGUUUAGGCGUCUGCCUUGUUGAUAUCGAACAAUAUUUUAUGACUGUAACGUAAGCAAUUAUCUGAUAGUGAGGGCUUUUAUGAAGUUCAAGAAAAUUUUGAGAUUCAUCAUGCAUUAAGAACAUAGAACCAGAACUAUACAGUUUGAACACCUGUUAUGGCAUCUAAGGUUCAGAUAUGAUUUUUAAGCAUGUGCAAUGUGUUGCACAAGCAAGGGAAUUCUGCUAACUUCUUAUGAUAUUAGCUUGUUUCUUAAUAUUAAUGAAUUGAGUGGAUUAAUUUCAAUGUGAGCUUGAGGUUAGGACUUGCUUAUUGCUGAAAAAAAAUUCUGAAGACUUAAAAAAUUAACUGUGCUUUAGGUAAAUCAUAUUCAUAGUGUCGUUAAAUUAUUCGAGAGUACCAGUCAUUUUAGUUUUAUUGAAAUUUAGUAGCAAGCAUUACUCUGAUGCUUAUGGUUUUGAAAUAUCUGACUUUUGUUAUGGUUUCUCAUUUAUAUCCCGUACUGACUGAGUAGAUUCUUAAUUUCAGGAAAAUUGCUGGGAUGCUUUAUUGGUAAGUGCUCUGGAAGCAUCAGAUCAAUAGCGAGGCAUCCAGAAUUUCCCAUGAUAGCAUCUUGUGGAAAGACUUGUAUCCUAUUAAUUCAAUAUAUUCAGUUAAUUUUACAUACUUCUACCAUUUUUUUAAGUGCUGUUCUGAGUUUCCUCAAAAAAUAGUGGUCCAUAUUGAAGCAUUUAGUUCAGUUCAGUUCAGAUGUUGAUACAAGCAAUAUGAUUGAUCACAAACUAUCCACAUACAAGAAAAUCUAGAGUUGAUAUAAAAGCAAGGUUUUAAAAUAACUGGAUAGACCAACCAAGCACCAAUUAGAAAGGGCUGGGAAUAUGAGAGUUGGUUUCAGCCUGGGUACCUUGAUAGACUUGGCAUCUGAUGGACAUGAUAUGUAACAUUUGGAUGUAUGGCUUUAGUAGCUUUUCAUUGAUCAAUCAAAGAAUGGUAGUUAUUCUAUAAUGUUUGUUCCAUAAUGGUAGUUAUUCUAUGAACAGUGUUUUUUAAAUGUACAUAUAAUGGUUUUCCAUUUCCCUUUUCUGCCUUAUGCCUAUCAGUCAAAAGUUGAUAUCCUUUCACAAGAACAUGAAAUUCUCACAUCCACUUGAUCAAAGCACUCUUUUCAAUGGUAUUAGCUUUAUCAGGAUGUUUUAACUCCUUUUUUAUACACCCACCUAGAAUGCUUUCAUCUUCUGUCGUUGUUGUUUACUUAUAUGCAUCAAAUAUUGCUUCAUAUCACUAAAACAGACCUUUUAUUUGAUCCAGCAUGCUGGUACACCAAGAUAGUUUCUUGGCAAAACAUAAGCUACUCAUGAACCACCAUCAAAUAUUGCUUCAUAUCACUAACACAGACCUUUUAUUUGAUCCAGCAUGCAGGUACACCAAGAUAGUUUCUUGGCAAAACAUAAGCUACUCAUGAACCACCAUCAAAUAUUGCUUCAUAUCACUAACACAGACUUUUUAUUUGAUCCAGCAUGCGGGUAAACCAAGAUAGUUUCUUGGCAAAACAUAAGCUACUCAUGAACCACCACCAAACCAACAGUUCAUGUUGUCAGGAACCUGCUGAACCAUUUGGUUGAUGUUUUGAGAUGGCGAUCGAAGCCAUUGUCGUAGUCGAUGUAUGCCAGCCCGAACCGCUCAGUGUAGCCUUUGUCCCACUCGAAGUUAUCAGUCAGAGACCAUGUGAAGUGGCCCUUCACCCGAACUCCCUCUCUGCAAUGAUCCAAGUUUGAAAAGGUUAGAGUUUAUCUAACUCGGUUUAGUGUUCUGCAUGCAUGAUUUAUUUGCAAUUUAAACAUGAGCUAAAUUUAGAUAUAUUGUGCAACGAAUUCCACCAUGGGAUAUUUAUAUUGUAAGAAUCAAAUCGGCCCAGGCAUCUAAAUCCAAACCAGUUUAACCCACUUGUGCAUGUGCAUAAACCAUGAUAGUGCUACCAAUAUGAGUCAUCAGUACCGGUCCAAUAAAUCACUAAAAUCAGUAUAUUUGUAUUUAUAUGAUGACAUAAAUGCAAAACAUAUGUCAACUUGGUCAGCCUAAGAACCAAGUUAUUAAAUAGUCAAUUCCGGUUCUUUUUUAUUUCCUAUUAAUGUGGGACUAAUCUUCAGUACAUUUUUUAUUUCAAUGGUAUCGACAUACCGAAUGGCCUCCUGUACUUGAGCAAAAUGGACCGAGAGGUAGUCUUGUCGAUGUGGAUCCUCACGAGCUUGCUCCAAUGGCAAAUCCUUGUCUAUUUCAGCAGUUCCUAAAAAAUGCAUCCACAUUCAAAUUAUUAGUAUCAUCAGAAUCGGUCUCAUCUACUGGCAACUAUCUGCACAGCUUCAUUCUCUGAUUAUUACUUGGUUUCAAGCUUAAGUUCAACAUAUCUCAAUCGACACUUACCAUUCUCAGUGAUGUAGAUCUUUGGGUUGUUGUAUCUCUUCUUUGUGUACAGUAGAAGUUCCUUCAUUCCAGGAGGAUAAACGUUUACCCAAGAACCAUUCUGCAUUGAAAUCAGUAACAAAUAAAAUGCAAGGACUAUAAACAUGUAGGUGAGUAUAAUUCCUUCAGCUUUCUCAUAUUUUAAGCAUGAGCCAAGAAAAGUAAGUAGUACAAAUUUUACUCUUUAUCGACCAGUAUUUAUCCAUCUGAUAAGAUAUCAACAUUCGGAUCAGUUGAUUUUGCUCAGCACAAUUCAAGAUGUUUUGUUUCUUUUUUGGAAGUUUCUGAUAUCUCCCCACUUCUCAACCUUCUCUCUUUUUAUCCUCCCCUCCUCUUCUUUCUCUCUGGCUCGGUUGACCCAUACUAGUCCGACCAAGGAUCGUUAUGGAUCCGAGAUCAAGACUUAAAACCAUGAUAUGAACAACAAAGAAAUAAAGGAGAUUUUAAAUUUAAGUAAUCUAAAAAGGAAAAGACGAGAAAAGAAAUAUAUGCUUUGCUCUUGUGAUAAUCAUAGGAGACCAAUGUAUUCAUUGGAUCACCAAGUUGAUCACAAAGUGUCAGAAUGAACUGGUUGCAGGCUAUCAUGAUGAGACAUGUUAGUGAGACAUGUCAGUGAGAGAGCAGGAUGUGUACCAGUGGACCGAUAGGGAUGCCAUUCUUUGAAUCUGCAAGAAGCAAAAUAAUUCAUGAUGUUGGGAGGAGUCAACAAGUACAUUGCAAGCAAAUAUAAGACCCUAAGCAUCUACAUUUGAAGAAGACUAUGCUAAAAAUUGACUGAUUAAAGAAUAUUUUGGUCAGUUGAACCAUAUGAGUCAUUAGUAUACAUGGCUAAUGCACGUGUUCGUUUUGUCCGAUACAUCUCUCAAUCUUCAAAAAAUGCAAAUGAUUUACCGAGUUAUAUGAAGAAAAGUAAACCCUAAUGAAGAAGAAGAAGAAACAAGAAGAAAUUAUUUAGACGAUAUAUACAUAUUAGAAAAAACAUGAUGAAAUUUUAUUGGCAUACCAAAUUGUCGGACGUAUUGAUCUUCAUAGCUACUACCAGGAGAGUGAUCUUGAACGAUCGGAUCAUGUUGUGCAUAUCUUGAAGUAUAGUAAUUGAUCCCAAUGAAAUCAUAAGACCCUUUGAUCAUUUCGGACUGUGUGUGUGUGAAGUGUGGAAGUCUCUCCCUGACUAAUGCUCUCAUGAUGAAUGGGUAGUCACCAUAAACCAACGGAUCCAUGUACCUGAACACAAAUCAUCUAUGCAUUUAGUGUAUACAUAUAUAUAUAUAUACACACACACAUACAUUAUGUUCAUAGUGAAAGACAAAAUAGGUUUUCACCAACCAUCCAAACAUGAAUUCUAUGGCUCUAUUGGCUGCCUCCUUGUCAUGAUGCGACUUGGAAUAGGGUUCAUACCACAUGCUGUUCAAGGUAAUGCCUAUUUCACCCUUUUGUGUCGCCUGCAAUGGAGAAUUCAUGAUUAGUUCUCAUCUCUUUCACAUCCUAACUUCACGAAGUUUGAUAUCUUCUGGUCGAACCAGAGAGAACCAUUUGUAAUCUCCUUGAUUCUGAUUAUUAUUUUCCCAUAAAUAUAUUGUCUUAUGGUUUGUAGUCUUUACCUUAUUAUCUUGUUGCUUACUUGGUUGACCCUAAUGUUAUAUAGUUUCUUACCUCUCUUUAGACUUGGUGUUAAUAUGAUGUGAGAAUUUAUGAUGUCAAAGAAGUUAUAUAUGACUAGUAAAAUAAGAGAGAUUUUUGUUUUAGAUUACCUGAAACUUCUCCUUGUAUAGUUUGACAACUUCUGCAUGAGCCAGAAUUUGAUUGUGAGUGACAGUGUAGGGUUCUGUGGAGGAAUCACCUACGGUGCACCCAAACCAACUGGAGCAUCUCCCAGGUGCAUGACGGCCAAAAGUAUACCCCAUGCUGCUAAAGCUCCAUGGCUCGUUCAGUGUGAUCCAGUGCUUGACUCUGUCUCCGAAUUCUUCAAAGCAUAUGCUUGCAAAAUCCUUGAAAUCAUUCCUGUAUGACGAUAACAAGAAGAAGAUGGAACAUGAAGGAUAUCCUUUUUUUGGGGUAAGAUAAUUAUGUCUUUCAUGUAUUCUGAGAGAACCAUCAUUAACAUAUGCUUGCAAAUUCCUUCAAAUCUAUUAGACAAUAACUAAGAGAUUAUGCUUACACAAUCUCAUGAUCCCGGAAACCUCCGUAUGCAUCCUCUAAUGCUUGUGGCACGUCCCAGUGAAACAAAGUGACAAAGGGUCUUAUGCCUACACAACAAUCAUAUGAUAAAAACGUGAUCUAAAAAACUACUAAAGUUAGUUAUCGAAUGGUCAUCGGAGACUCGUACCAUUUUUAAGUAACUCAUUGAUUAGAUUAUUGUAAUAGUUGAUUCCUUCCGGGUUGACACCACCUAACAAUGUGCCCUCUGCAAAACAAGUUUUAUAAUCUCGAUCAAGAUAUGCAAAUUUACUUGGCAAAAUAACCUAUUCUUGUGUAUGGAUUUCAUGAAGGAUAGUAGAGCAGAUGGAGAAAAGAUUACUUGGCAAUAUCCUUGACCAGGAAAUGGAGAACCUGUAGGAGUCCAAGCCCAUUUCUUUCGUCAGUUUCACAUCUUCCUGCAGUAUGUUGUUGUUACUGUUUGUGUGCAAAGUGAAGAGUGCCAUGAAGAGAGCUUGGCCUUCUUGGCUUCAGGAAUAACUUACCUUGUACUUGUUGUAUGAAUCAGUUGCCUUGUCUCCAUUGCUCCCGUCUUGGAUCUUCCCUGGAAGACACAAAGUGUUACCGACAAGGUUCAAUCUCUAUCAAACCCUAUCGGUCUGCACAAUCAAUCUUCAAGAUGCUAAUAUUUACGUAUGAGUGGAAAUGAUAUCUUGGAGUGUCUAGUAAUUGUUAUAUCAUCUCGGUUGGUUUUUGAAAAUUACAUUUUGACUUCUUUUAUCAAUCAGAGCUAUCGAAUUUAAAGAUGUCAGAUAAGUUUGACUAUCGAUAGAUCACUAUCGAUAUAUGGAAUCUUGUCUUCAUUAUUUAUCAUUUUACUUUUCAACUACCCAAUCUCAUAUCUAGUUGGCCUUUUGGAGACCUCAUCACUAUUUUAUCUUUUUACUAGAAAUUAUUUUUUAAACUAAUAUGAGACUAAUUAUGACUUUACCAAUAUAUGCAAAGGAAAUAAUAUUUUUUAGAUUAUUUUAUCUUUUUACUAGAAAAUUACUUUUCAACUAACCAACUAAUAUGAGACUAAUUAUGACUUUACCAAUAUAUGCAAAGGAAAUAAUAUUUUUUAGACUAUUUUAUCUUUUUACUAGAAAAUUACUUUUCAAGUAACCAACUAAUAUGAGACUAACUACGACUUUACUGAUAUAUGCAAAGGAAAUAAUAUUUUUGAGAUCUCAUCACUAUUUUAUCUUUUUACUAGAAAAUUACUUUUCAAGUAACCAACUAAUACGAGACUAACUAACUGUGACUUUACCAAUAAAUGCAAAAGAAAUAAUAUAUUUUUAACCAAGAAAGGACAAACAAAGUGUAGUUAUCAUAUGGCGAAGGUUUAAAGAUCCAGUAGCAUCAGAGGAAUAUGAUUAGUGUCAAUUGGUCCUCUCACAUUUACAGACUAUUUUAGCUGGCAAAACUAGUAUCUUGUUUUCUCUCUUUUUAUUCAAUGUAGUAUCUAAUCCCAUGAUCUAAAGCGAUUAAAUUUAAACUACUUUGCUGGGAAAACUAGUUUUAAGACCCCUUGGGAUCGAUGUUGACACGACAAUAAGGUUGCAAGUAUCUAACGUACAGAUCUUAAAUCCUAAUAUAAAGCUUUUCGACCAAGUUUGCCGUUCUGGAGUUUGCUAGGCCAACGUUUGUGCGUGGUAGAACUUGAACCGUACGUGGAUGCGUACAAACCAAGUCCAUCUUAGUUGGUUUCUUUGGCUUCUUUAGGAGAUCUACGUGAAAAGGUGAGACACUGAGGAGUAGAGGUGGGAUACCAGGUUGGUUAUGCGUGAAGGUGUCCCAAAUGCUCGGUCCUCUCCCUCCUUCGUUCCAUGCUCCUUCCACCUACACCAUCAACUCAUCAGGGCUGUAAACGAGAGAGAAGAGACGAAGAGGAAAGGAAUGGGAGACGAACGAACAAACCUGGUAGGCAGCAGAGGCAGCGCCGAAGACGAAGCCCCGAGGGAAGCUGCUCCUUCCCAGUGAAACCUUGGCCGGAACAGCGGUGGGGAUCGUCUCCAGCUUCUCCCCCAGAGCAGUGCCAUCCACAGCAGCACGCGGUGGCCUCUUCCUGCUUUGGCGAGGUAGAUGUUGCUUAGCUACUGCAGGAGCUGUACUUCUUAACCUGACGGAUUCAGCGAUGGUGGCGUGGUAGCAGGAGCUCAGCGGAAGGCCUAGCAGCGCCAUGAUCUGUAUGCGUUCUUGACGAGCAAAAGGCGACCUUUAGUCCCUCCACACCCCCACCCACCUCCACAACCCACCCACCCCCACCCAACCGAGGGUAAUCUGGUUAAUUACAGAUUACCCCCUUAGCCGAUUAUUUUUAACAUUUCGAUCCUAAUACUUUUAAAAAUUAUAUUAUAAUUUUUAUAUUUAUAAAAAUAAAAUAUUUAAUCUUAUUUCUCGUAUCGUUGAUUUUAUUGACGAAAAUAUAUUAUAUACGUUACUAGAAAAUGAUACAAACAAAGAUAAAAGGAUAAUUUCAUAAUACUAUUUUUAUCGAUAUUUAAUUUUUUCAUCUAUAACUUCUAUGAAAUAAAUAAUCAAGAAAUUAAUAAUUAUGCAGUAGUCGACGGAUGAGGAUGAGACAGGAUCACAAGAAAGAGAUGAAUAUUUUACUUUUCAAUAAAACCUUCAAAGAUAUAAAGAGAAAGUGGAGCAAUUGAAUAACACUGAUAUAUAUUGGACUUGUGACGACCUAGUGGACCUAAAAGUGACUUGAGCUUGAUGAGCAAAAAGUUAACUUUAUCCCUCACCCCCACACCCUUGGAGGAUAAUCUGAUUAAUUACAUAUUACCCCCUUAGUCGAUUAUUUUUAACAUUUCGAUCCUAAUACUUUUAAAAAUUAUAUUAUAAUUUUUAUAUUUAUAAAAAAAAAUAUAUUUAAUCUUAUUUCUCCUCGUACCGAAGAUUUUAUUGACGAAAAUAUAUUAUAUACAUUACUAUAAAAUGAUACAAACAAAGAUAAAAGGAUAAUCUCAUAAUACUAUUUUCAUCAAUAUUAAUUUUUUCAUCAAUAAGUUUUAUGAAAGUAACAAUCAAGAAAUUAAUAAUUAUGCAAGAUCACAAGAAAGAGAUGAAUAUUUUUACUUUUCAAUACAAUCGAUAUAAAGAGAAAGUGGAGUAAUUGAAUAACACAUAUAUAUAUUGGACUUGUGACGACCUAGUGGACCCAAAAGUGACCUGAGCUUGAUGAGCAAAAAGUUAAUUUUAUCCCUCACCCUCACACCUCUGGGGGUAAUCUGAUGAAUUACAGAUUACUCCCUUAACCGAUUAUUUUUAAUAUUUUGAUCCUAAUACUUUUAAAAAUUAUAUUAUAAUUUUUAUAUUUAUAAAAAAAUAUUUAAUCUUAUUUCUUCUAAUACCGUCGAUUCUAAUGAUGAAAAUAUUAUAUAUGUUAUUAUAAAAUGAUACAAACAAAAAUACAAGGAUAAUUUCAUAAUACUAUUUUUAUCGAUAUUAAUUUUUUCAUCCAUAAGUUCUAUGAAAGUAACAAUCAAGAAAUUAAUAAUUCUACGAUAGUAGGAUGAGACUAGAUCACAUGAGAAAUGAAUGUUUCACUUUUCAACAAAACCUCCGAGAAAGUGGAGCAAUUGAAUAGCAUAGCUAUAUAAUUUUUUUUCCCAACAAAAUCUCUUUUAUUUUUUUCUUUAGACGAUAAAAAUAGUUUUAUAAUAUUAUUUUUUAAUCUUAUUUUAAUAUCAUUUAUCAUAUGUGAUAAUACGCAUGGUACUUUCAUCGAUAAAAUUGACAUAUAAGAAAAAACAAAAUAAAAUAUUUUAUUUUUAUAAAUAUAAAAUUUUAAUAUAAUUAUUAAAAAUAUAAAAAUCGAGAUGUAGAAGAUAGACAAUUAUAAAAAUAAUGUAUAAUUAGCUGUCUUUCUUAGUUUAUAUAGGAAUGACCUAAGAGUAGCUGUGACUGUAAUCAUGGUGGGAAUGAAGCUAAUAUGACGUUAUUUCCUGCAUACAUGAAGGCUUGCAACGCGUCGCCAUGGAUGUGGAUGACUUCAAUUCUUCACUGCGAACACUGCUUGCAAUUCGUGACAGUCUUCAUUGCAGAUCUCUUGAGAUAAUUACAUCCAUCGCGAUCUGUGCAGUCUUCUGAGAUGAGUUCAUGAAUCCAAGGACAUCGAACUAAUCGAGUUUUCUCGGGGUAAAAGAAAGCGGCGGACCAACGUGAAACGCGUAGAGCAAAACACGGUCGGCCACAGUAGGUCCUCCGUGACUCCGUUUUGUUCUCUUAUCCUUGUCUUCCUUUCCGUCGAUAAGUUCAUCGCCGUAAGUGCACCUCACGCACUUUUCUGCUGCACACCCCCAGCCCAACACGAGUUGUUUUAGCUGGGGAAUUUUGUCGAACACUUGCUGGGCAUUCAUUGUUGCCAUAGGAAGAACAAGAGACGGACACUGGGCAAGCUUACUGUAUAUCAGAUUUGGAUUAGAACAUGUGAUGUCUGAAGAGACAUGCGAUCAAGAACAAGAGAGCGUACCGUCAAGAGUGCCUUGAGCUGCUCAAUCGAUCCCGACCUUUGAAGAGGGAGGACGGGGACAAGGAACCUCACUUCACGACAGAGAGGAUAUCAAGAGGAAGCACUACUGGUCACCGACCACAGAGACGAGGAAUUCAAGUGCCGGCGGAUAUGAUUCCGAUGCACGUCAUAAUUGCAGCCAGCGAGAUACGACGCAGCAGCCCAAUUCCAUUCGAUCAAAUUAAUUUUGACUAAUUUUGAUCGAGAUUUGAAGACGAUUUAGGAUAUAAUAUAUCGAUUCCAAUAUCACUUAUACCCAUCUCGAAUCCCCUCCUGUCUCUUACGAUUCAAACUCUAAAAACUACUCAUGGUUAGAUUUUUUUUGUAAAAAUUAGUCAAAAAAUAUUUUUUUUUUUCAUAUAUAAUUGACUUCGUCUACAGUCAUUGAAGCCCACGUGACAAAUCUCCGUGCGAUGCAAAAAAAUAGUAUAUAUAUAUAUAUAUAUAUAUAUAUAUAUAUAUAUAUAUAUAUAUAUAUAUAUAUAUAUACCUGGAUAAAUUUACACAAGACAAGGAUGGUGAACCGAAGAACAAAGCAACAUAAGAGUUGGAGGAGCAACCAAGCGAACUACUCGGCUAAAGCUGCUGUUCUAGUUUGAAUCCCCUGGAUACAGUACCGGUUGUUUGUGCUUCUUCACCAAGUGGGACACAACUCUAGCUGAGACCACCUUCUUCACCAGCAUCCCCCACUUGUCAUCGCCAUCCGCUUCUUCGCCUUCCCUACGCUGCACCCUCCGCUUGAAUUGCCUGUGGAUUCACCAAGAAACAAAGACGAGUGAGCUGGGUUAUGUUCUUCCAUUAAUUUCUCAGCGGCACCAGUUGCACAAGUACAUGCAGAGGGGAACUUCGCAGGAGGCGUCAUCGAGCUCGGUGCAGGUGGAAGCGUGGAGGCGGAGGAGCUGCCAGAGACACUUGCACCGACGGCACCAGCGCCUCUUCUCGCUGUCGCAGGCCGCCAAGUGGCGGACAAGCUGCCGUAGGCCGCGGCAGGUGACGGGGUUGGGGCAGCGGGCCCGCUUCUCCUCCCUGCCGGAGUGCCCCAUCGCCGCGUAUCCAUCCUUGAAGAUGUGGUGCAAGCACUCGAUGGUCUCGUGCAGCUCCAUGUACAGCCUCCGCUCCGCCUUCCUCCUCCCCAGCCGUCGCCGUCUCUGCAGUCACACCACCGAAGCCGGCAACAAACCCAUCAAUCUCUCCCUCUCUCUCUCGCUCUCUCUCAGCUACCGCAUCAUGCCCGGCAAGCGACAUGCGACGUACGCACCAGGUGGGCGUCCUCGAGGAACUGGAGGAUGUCGAGCUCCAGCCAGGGGUCGUGGUCCCGGAGGAACCGCCAGGCCUCGGUCUGCUCCACCGCCGCAAAGUCCUCGGCAAGCAGCUGCAUGCACCGCAGGUGAAGGCGGGGGGCGUCGCACUGCUGCGCCAGCACCAGCACGUCCACCACGCCCUCGGCGGUCAGCCGCGACGACAGCACCCGCUCGCACGCGCGCUUCAGCCACCCGACCCCGUACGCGUGCGACAGCACCAUCAGGUGCAUCCCGUGCUCCCCGACGAUCUCCUCCUCCGCAAGCGUCACGCACCUGCCGUGAAUCACAACCGUCCAUCAAAAUUACUCCUUAAAAUAAUUUAAAGAUAAUUAUAUGUCCAAUCUAUUAAAAAAACAGCUCGAUGAGACACGUCACACGUGUUCGGAGGAGAGAUCGCUUGCAUGAGACGUCCGUCAUGCAUAAGUGUUAGCUGCAAUUCGAGAGCAUUUUCUCGAAUAAAAAGUGUAAGACAUCAGGAGAACGCAUCAAAAAACAAAAAAAGCUUGUCCGCGAAUAAGCUCUUAGUGAUGUCACCUACACAACUCCUGUGCUGUGUAUACAGUGUCCUAGACAUUAAGAAGAGCAUUGGAGAGACGCAAGGGAGAUCGGUGUACUACAAAUUGUGUGAAGAUUGGACGAAAAGAAGAUACGAGACCUGGCGGAGUAGAGCAAACGGAGGAAAGCAUGAACAGCAUCGCAGGGAACGCCAAGAACGGGGAUCUCCAUUUCUCGGUUACUGCCACCUUUGCGUGGUCGGUGCAGCAUGCUCUCCAGCACGGGAGAUGCCGAAGCCUGCGCCCGAAGAAAGAAAGCGAGCAAUGAAUAGAAGAUCAUAGACAAGUGCAUGUAUAGGUGGUGGUGUUUCGUUUAUCACCAGAACGGUGGAAUGAGCCGGGAGUCGCCGUUGGCCGGACGUCACGAUCCGGGCAUCGGUCGGCGGCGUGUCAUCGUUCCCGGCCUCAAGCCACCGCCGGAACCCCGUCGGCGAGACAAGCGUCUCGCCGUGCUGCUGCUCUUCCUCCUCCAUGAUCCCAUGCCAGUGGUAAGCGGUGGUGGCGGCGUGCAUGUAUAAGGAGGCUGGCAGUGGGGGACGAAGGGGAUAAGAAUAAACGAUGAAAUGGCGAACAUAGCCCCAUAGUCUGCGACUCCAAACUCCGCUUGUCCGGCCUCACUGGCUUUUCAAGUGGGGCCCGCAACAACUGUUGAAGAGGUGCAAAAUUGACGGUCACCAAUUAUUAAGCCUACAACAAAAGAAGAAAAAAAAGAAUUUGUUCGUCGGAUCAGACAACACGAGAUCAUCAUACUGAUCAAUUGGAAACUAAUCCAAACUAAUUUCAAUAAACAAAAAAAAAGAAAAAAAUAAUCUGAAUCAGUAAGCACUCACUGUCCUGGAUAUUAUGAACUUCACGGAGAUUUAAUUCUGCUUUCAUUUUAUCGUGUAUAUUUUUUUCUCCAAAUGAAGUGUGAUUCUACAGCUUUUAGAAACUUUGGGUGUCGCUUUGAGUUGGUAUAUUUUUCCCAAAAGUAUUUUUGAAAGCAAAAAAGUAAUGUAACUUCUAUGAAAAUUCUGAAAGCAGUUUACCUGAAACCUGCUCGCCACUGCAGUAGCUGAAUUCUUCAUCGAAGCUUCAGUGAGACGUUCCAUCCUGCAGAUAAGAAACGAUGAACAGUAAACAUCGGACAGAGAAGGAAAAAAGAAAAGCUUUCUUGAAGUUAAUUCAUCAGAAUAUUUAUGAAGAAACUAAAGUCGAACUUCACAGAGUUUGACAAACCGCUCUUCGUAGGUUGUGCGAGUUUUCAGGUCAAGUUGUCUUGCUAAGAAAACAGAGGAAGAAAUCCUGCUUUCUCUUGGCCGAGGAAAAGUAUAAUCCAAGAACCUACCCUGCACUCAUCAAUCUACUACCAGUAUAUUAGGGAGAGGAUGACCAAAUAAAGAUACUCGAGUACCUGCAGCUUGUUCCGGAGCUAUUUGUCUAAUGACAUCCAUCAUCACAGAUUUCUCACAUCAGACAUUUCUAUGAUAUCUCAAGCAGGCAUCUAAAGUUUCCUACUUUUAGACACCGAGAACAUGUUUGAGUGAAGCAAUAGGCAAUCCUUCAAUCUACAAAAAAAAUAUAGUCAGCAAACUCAAACGUAGAAGUAUCCUGUAGAAACACUUGAAUAAAGAGCUUUAACUAUCCAUCAACCAAACAACAUAUCUCAUGAAGCAAAUGUUCUCUGACACACUACUAUCAAAAAAUUAAGACGAAAACAGCAACACGUAUAUAUCCCGACUGAUAAGUUCAGUGCACGAUCAAGCCCUAACCUGACGGCCAUCGUUUCUUCUUCAUCGUCGGUACUCCCAUCUCUCAACUCUUCAUCAUUGGAAAUCCACUGCUCUCUUAGUCUCUCAGCUCUUCAUCAUCGGAAAUCCACAGUCCUCUCAGUCACUCUCCGCUGCCAAAGACAUCAUGAUAUACCUCUCCUUUGUUUCAUUUUAAAUAGUUGACCUAUAGUCAAUAGUUGAUCUUCCAAGCACAUUACGUCUCGAGCAUUUUAAAAUAGCAAAGCAUCUAGCAAUUCGGGCUUUUCAAAACCGUCUUUUAACGUCUAGCACUUUUGACUACACUGCCACCUAAAAUCGACCCAAAUCCACCAUCAAUAAAACAGUCAAUCUAGUUCCACACACAAGUAUAGCUGUAAAUAAGACCACCAAAUAUGCACUAUCAACAAAACAAAUGGUUCAAAACCAAAUAAUUCCUCAAUAAAGAAGUUCACGCUUAUGAUUAACAGAAGAUUUAAAGGUAAAGGAUGUUGGUCAUAAGAGAAAUUUAUGAUCAUCACCAAAGAAUAUUACCGGUCAACUAUCAAGCACAAUCAAGCAAACAAGAAAGCUCCAUGGAAGUUUCAAUGACUAGGAUGAUUUGCUAAAGAUUUAAUAUCACUGAUACAUCAAGGAUAUUCAGCAAGGUGCAAAAAGAUAACAAAAUCAAGAAUUCACUUAACACCAUAAUAGGGGAAGGAAGCACUCGAGUUUUUCCUUUGGUGAAGAGAAGAAUCCAUUAGCCGGGGAUUGAAGAUCUCAAUCAGGCUGGUGACCGAGGCUGAGGGAAAAGUGAAGGACCUUUUUCUCUCACAGCUAGUUCGUCCUUCACUGAAAAAGACUCAGUAAGAUAUGACACUUUUUCCUCUGCAAAGCUGGUCCUAUUAGGUCGAGUAUUGAAUGUAAGUAAACACGGAUUGCAGGAAGAGAAUCAAUACAACUUCUUUACACCUUAGGGUUCUACCCAUGUCCACAAGGCAUAUCACUCCAGCUAAGGCGUCAAAAAUGGAAGAUUGGAACCAAUCUUGCGAUAGAAUUAACCCUGUCGAAGAAAGGGUGACCAAAGAUUCAACCCAACGGAACUACGAUCCUAGAAAACCCUAACCUUUGAACAAAAAACAGAUCUCUGACAGCAAUACAAUCUAAAUUGAUCCCACAAUAUGCUAACAAGAACACAAGAUGAAUAUAUAGAGGAAAAUCGAAAAUGAAUUACAGCAGCACAAUCGAAUCGAAAUUAGAAAUUUAACCAGAUUAGUUUAUGCACUUUGUCUUAAGCAAUUCCCCUACCAGAUUCGCCGGGGACGAAUCAGAAAAAACCUAAUCCUCGAUCUGCCCACCAUACGACCCAAAGAAAAGGAGGACAAUGACGACAUCGAAACAAGAAAAGAAUUGGAAGGAAAAGUACCUGAACGACGAGCGAGACAACCGCAGACAAGAAGCGAGUGUCGAUCGGAUGGCACGUGCAGUUCUUGAAAUGCCAUUGUUCUCGGGAAGGAGGCGACAGAUUUGUCGUCGAAGUAUGCGCCAGAUUUGUCGUCGAAGUAUCAGAUCAAGGAGGAAAGGAUAAAAAUAAGCCGGUCAAGAUUCAGAAUCGGUUCGAUCGUCAAACCGGACCAUUAAAAAUGUGAUUUGAGAUUUACUUAAAUACUAAUUAAUACCGUGCUUUGUAUCCGUUAUCAGAUGAGAUCGUAACAGUUAAAACCGGUAUAUUUGCCGAUACGAUUCCAGGGGAAUUCCUAACGGCUAACAUUUCGGACUAUAAAGCCGCUACGAUUCCUUGCGUGGAGGUUCAACCCAAAGGCAGCGGAAGACAUGGCGACUGUGGAUCCGAUCGCCCUCGACCUCGUCGACUUCCUCAACGCUUCGCCAACUAAUUUCCACGCCGUCGGUAAUCCAGCCUCACCGCCCGAUCUCUCGCUUUGAUCUUCAAAGAUCUGGAUUCGUUUUCUUGUAUUGAUCGGGGGGAGAUUUUUGUACUUGUAGAUGAGGCGAAGAAGCGCUUGAAACAAGCUGGCUUCGCUCAUCUAUCGGAGAGAGAGGACUGGGUGUUGGAAUCCGGGGGGAAGUACUUCUUCACGAGGAAUCACUCCACCAUCAUCGCCUUCGCCAUCGGAAAGAAGUGAGUAGGGUUAAUACUUUCCUCUAUGGCUUCCUUACCUGGAUGCAAAGUCUCUCUUGAUAGCUCUAUCUGGUGGUAUAUUAUAUGCAUUUUGGUUCAACAGAUAUGUUGCUGGGAAUGGAUUCCACAUUGUUGGAGCUCAUACAGACAGCCCGUGCCUCAAAGUCAAGCCUGUCUCCAAGGUAAGCAUUCAUCUUGGUUAUAUACAUAUCCUUGAAGUUGUUCUUCUUACUGUGGAUCAAUUUCCUGUUUUUGAUUAUUGGGCUGGUUGAUCAGAAAAAUGUAGUAGUUAAAAAGAGUGGAUCCAGAAGUUGAUUCUUUAUCCAAUCGUGUCUAUGAUUAGCACCACUGAUGAAAGUGAAAGAGUUUGGUUUGUGACUAAUUUAAUGUGAAAUAGCUUUCAGGAAAUGCAAGUGAGGUUAUUGAUAUUUUUAUUGUACUUGAUCAUUGUGUAACAUAUUUGCUUAGGUAACAAAAGGAGGAUAUCUUGAGGUAGGUGUGCAGACAUAUGGAGGAGGACUUUGGCACACUUGGUUUGAUCGCGACUUAACCCUCGCCGGAAGAGUGAUAAAGAAGGAAGUGAAGGAGCAUUCAGUAACCUACUCACAUACCCUUGUCAGGAUCGAGGAGCCCAUCCUUCGGAUUCCUACCCUAGCUAUUCACUUGGACAGGUUAGUGUUACAGUUAACAUCAGAUAUUAAAUUGGUAUUUUACGUGUUCUUAGUAGCUAUGAACUGGACACUAUGGUUACUUGUGAAGUUUUACAUGAGUUACUCGCUUGUACAUUGUCGGAUUUGGACUUUGACUAUUUGAUGGCAUGCUUGUUUCUGUAAUUCUUUCUGAUCAUUUGUUCACUAAUUAAGUGUUAGAUUAAAGGGUUAAUGACAGCUUAGAAGAAAAAUUAGAUCGGCGGUAUGGAAUUUGUUGAGGUUAAUACCUUAUGAUAUGCUUGUUUUUAUUUUUGCUAACAGGAGCGUUACGGAAGGCUUCAAGUUUAACACACAUAGUCAUCUUGUACCUGUGUUGGCUACAUCAAUUAAGGUGAUUUAAUUUGCUAAAUUUGACUUUUUGUGAACUUGAUCUUGAUUUUCUUCAUUUGCCUACUAUACAUAUGCUCUAACACUAAUCAAACUUGUUUGAAGUAACUGUUGGGCUUUUCUCCUUGUUGUCACUAUUUUAACAUCGUUUGAACAAAGAUUAUUUUGAUUGAUGAAUAUAGGUUACUGUAUCUUUGCCAUUUUGCUUGCAAACACAAAAUUCCUCCAGGACACUAGGACCAUCAUGUCCUUUCUCCCUCGCGGAAUGUCUGUUUUAUUACCUCAGCUGACCUUACUGGUCAUUCAAUUAUCUGUUCCAGUCUAUCUCAAGACUCAAAAAUGAUUUGUAUUUGAUCAAGAACUUCCUAGAAUAAUAUUUUAUUUGCUCAAACAUGUUCAAGAUGCUGUUUGCUUCAAUCUUUUCUGAUUGAAGAAUGGCAGCUAACUAUUGUCAACUAUAUAUGUGCAGGGUGAGCUCCAGAAGCUUGUUGAUCAUAAUAGCUCAUCUGAGUCGAAUGAGAAAACAAAUGCUGAUAACAAAAAACAUCAUCCAGUACUACUGCAGGUAAAAGAAUGUUCUAAACAUGCCUGUUUCUCUAACUGCGUAUAUUCAUAACCUAUGUUAAAAAUACCUAAAGAGGACUGAUGCAUGCAAAAUUGAAUGUUGGAAGCUGACACAAUGGUUGGUUGGUUUUCACAGCUGAUCGCUGACCACGCUCAUUGCCAUCCAGAUGAAAUAUGCGACUUCGAGCUGCAAGUUUGUGAUACUCAACCAAGUGUCGUUGGUGGUGCAAUGAAGGAAUUCAUUUUCUCUGGAAGACUUGACAACCUAUGCAUGUCAUUUUGUGCACUAAAGGUCAGUUGUGGUGUUACCCAUCGUUUGUGUGCAGCAGUGUUUCACACCACAAAAGGUGCACAUGAUUAUUUCGAUUUAUUGCUGGGUUUUUACCUACAACGUCUGUAACUGAUUGAUACCGGAAACAGAACUAGAAUUCUGUGUAUGAUUGUGCAAGGUUGCUCCCUGAUUUCAGGCAUUAAUAGACUCCACCUCUGUUGAAAGUUCUCUUGGUGAUGAAACUGGCGUAAGGAUGGUGGCAUUAUUUGAUCACGAGGAGGUCGGAUCAGAUUCAGCUCAGGGUGCUGGAUCUCCCGCCAUGUUGGAUGCUCUAUCAAGAAUAACAAAAUACUUUAAUUCUUCAGAUCCCACGGUACCAUUUUCACAUUCUACUCAUAUUUUCUGUUGCUUUUUCUGCUUUUGCAGACAUAUUCACAUAUGUUGUAUUGCUUGUGCAUUACUAAAAAUUCUAAACGUGAAUUCGUUUGACCACAGUCUACCUAAUUGUUGUCGGCAUUUUCUGAUAGAUUAAACUAUUUUUUUUAUUCAUCCAAAAAAUUUUCAGUUGCUCGAGAAGUCAAUCCAUAGGAGUUUUCUCGUAUCGGCAGACAUGGCACAUGCUUUACAUCCUAAUUUUAUGGUAUGUUCCUUUUAACUGAUUUAUAUGUACACUCGGCUGCCUGCCGUAAGGCCUGAAUGGUUUGCGAUAAAUACAAUGUCAGUAUGCUGUCAAGUUACCGACAGCAGUAGAAAAUGUAAACGGCACUGAUGGCUUCUUUUUACAUGCUCUCCUGCCAGGACAAGCACGAGGAAAAUCAUCAACCAAAACUACAUGGUGGUCUUGUAAUUAAACACAAUGCCAAUCAGCGUUAUGCAACAAAUGCUGUUACUGCAUUCAUAUUUCGAGAAAUUGCGGAGAUGCAUAACUUACCAAUUCAGGUGAGUUGACUCUCAAACUGGCAUAUUUUUGUAUUAAUAGUGAUUACUUGUACAUUUGGCCAAGCUAUUUACAGACUUUUUAUUCAAUGCAGUUAAGAUAUAAUCUUUGUGCAAAAGAUAAUCUCUGUGCUUAUUCAAAUGCCUUUAAAAUUAAAACUAGUGCAUGUAUAAUGAUCGAUCCUGAUCCUGAUAGCUGCAUAUAUAAGUAUGUGGAAUAUGCCAGAUGCCAAAUGCGAAAUUGAUCUAUUUAAUGGCAUUUUUGAUAAGUUGGAUUUUAAUGUGCAAGAAGUAAAUAUAAAUUUUACUCCACAAGUUUCUAACCACCACUUUGAUUAACCUACUAAUUAAUAAGUAAUAAGAGGCUGGGUCCAUUUUCAUCAUUUCAUGCAAAACUUAAAUGUUUGAUGUGCUUGUUCAGGCUAAUGUUAGAUCCACCUUGGUUAACUAUUAGGCUAUGGCAUGAUGAACUACAAACUGGCAGUUGAUAUUCAUGAAUACAGAAGAAAUUCUAGUAAACUUUUCUCUUUUUUUUUUCAGCAUAGUUAUAUGACUCCAUGAUUUAGAUGUUACCACUUAGUUCUACCAUUCUUAUGACUCCAGGAUUUUGUGGUUCGGAACGACAUACCAUGUGGUUCAUCCAUCGGUCCCAUACUUGCAAGCGGUGUCGGAAUCCGAACAGUUGAUGUUGGCGCUCCUCAGUUGUCGAUGCACAGCAUCAGAGAGAUGUGUGCAGUCGAUGAUGCCAAGCACUCUUAUGAGCAUCUCAAGGCAUACUUCGACGAGUUCACAGAGCUGGAUAACAAGUUGAUCGUGGACUGCUAAUCGAUUUAAAGGAUGAUGCAACAGAUGAUGCCAAGUUCGGUGGUUACCUUUUCCUAAACUAAUUAUGUCGGCAUGACAUUCUGGGAACGAUUAACUCAAUGGGUUUUGUCUCAAAAACUAUCAGCUGUCACAUUGAACUCCUAUUUGAACAUCUAGAUGUCAAGAGUAUCUCGUUACUACCCACCCUAACCUAUGGUAAGGUUCUCUCUUUUGAUCUGUUGGAACCAAAUACUUGAUGUGCAGGGCAUGUGGGGAGGAAGUAUGUAUACACUGGUGUUGGUGCUUUGAACCUUCUGCCAGUACUACAAAGAUCCUUCACCAGCAAGUCCACAUCGAGAAAUAAAUACACAUUUAGAGCAACCCUACAAUUCUCGUCUAGGUUUCCACAGCAUCAAACGACACAACAUGAACCCUUCAAGUGUUCCUCUUUUGUUUGACUUAUCAUUUCUACUUCAAGUUUUCCUAGUUCGAUAUCAAGAAACUAUAAAGAACAAUAGGUUUUCGGUAACCAAAUCAAGAUUCCCCAUUCAGAACUACAUGUAAAAAGUUAUAAGAAGGGUUUCAUUGCAUCGAUACAACUGUAAAGAUCACAGACGCAAAGCGAAAGAAGCACUUGGUCAAGAUUCCUAUUCAUAACUACAUGUAAAAAGUUACAAGAAGGGUUUCAUUGCCUCAAUACAACUGUGAAGAUCACAGACACAAAGCAAACGAAGCAUGCGAAAAGAAAUUCCAAUCAUCUUUGUCUAGGAGACUAGUUCGACUACUGACAAACGGCAAUCAUCGAAAAACUUGUCUAUAGAAGUGCAAGACUUGUUUAUAAAAGUGCAAAUUUAUUUGGCUUAUGGAUGCGUACCUCAUCUGAUCGUAUUUAGAUUGAGAAAACGCAUCCAAUUUCCUGUCACAAAUGUUAAUCAGAUUAUAGCCCUACAGACAUCCAAUAAAUUUGAUAUUGAUUAACAUAACUACGACAACUGUUCACAAACAAUUUUCGAUCACAUAGCAGGUUAAAGAGGAAGAUUUUUCUUCAGACAAACUUCCACACAAGGCAGCAAUUUUGAAAAUUCUUGAAUCUCUCUAUCCCCAAAAAAAUGGGGUCAAUGCUAGAGGGUCCGUGUUUCCAAUAAAUGGUACAAUAAAAUAUUUUUCUUCACUCGGGAAAACCUUAUUUCAGACUAAACUUGUACUAACACCAUGAAGCACAAAAAAGCUGAUGCAAACAUUUCAGUGAAUAUUAAGAGUUAUGGGUAGUUUGAAGCUGUGACUGAUAGAUGUGCGUCAUGAUUGACAAGGAAAAAACUGACUGAUUAUUCGUGACAUCAAGUUGCAACGAGCCACCGAAAGGUUUGCACUCAUGAAAGAGACUUCUGAAUCUCAGAAGUAACUUCUUUGGGAGGUUUCUCAGCAUGAAGCUGAGACACAACUCCCUUUUUGUUGUAGUAAUCAAUGACCUGAAAUAAACAACAAUAGCACACAUAUAAUUCCACAUAUUAAUACUAAAAUAACAACCAAGAAGUUUGAUGUACUUAUCUAUGUCAUAAAUGAAUCAAUGAAAUCAUAUGUCAUAAUUAGAACCAUCAAAAUUAUUAUUGCCAAUAAUCCCAGAUUGACUACACAUACACAUGCAAAUAGUCAUAUAUCGGACGGCGGUAAGAAUACAAGUACCCGAUGACUUCAGUCAAGAAAUACCAAGUAAAAAUUUAUAUGCUGCUUACAAAAAGUAUCAUCCAUUGUGCAACAGAUAAAACAGUUAUCAGCAAAAAUAAUCAAGAAGAUAAUAAGAAGGAAAAUCAACUUACGGGUUCAGUUUGUCUGUGGAAAGCUUCAAGCCUUGACUUGAGGACUUCAGCUGUGUCAUCUUUCCUCUGAAUCAAAGGUUCUCCUGACACCUUCAGAGCAUAAUUUUGAAAUAACAAAAGAAACAUAAGAACUAAUUCUCUAGGACCAACCAAAUUAGAAAAAGAGUAAAUCACAUCAUGUCUCUUCUCCCAAAUCUCAUCAAAACUAAAAGAUGAUAUCUAGUAAAUAUCAAAUGCAUUAAUGUGCUUUGAAAUGGAUACACAAGGACACAAAAGCUCACAAAGAGAUUAGAUGUACAACACAGGUGAUUAACUACUGAGGCAAUUUCAAGAAUCUUGCAAGGCUAAAAAUUUCUACGAUCAGCUUGAAGGCUAAUUUGCAAGAAUCAUAAAAUAUUAAACACAAACAUGAUUAUGAAAAAUAAGAAAAUUACACAUACCAAAUUAACACAUAUAUGUUCAAUAGAAUAUCUGUCUGCAAAAAGAUUAUCAAUCUAGAAUCUAAAAGGUCAAAAUAAUUCUUUUAACAAAGGGUGUCAUGGGAUUCCUACAAGGCAUGUAAAGGUGUGCAUAGGAAAGACCACCAAAAGGAGGGUGCAAAUGGCCCACCCCCUCCCUCUUCCUCCCUUUUCUAUUACCUCCCUCUUCAUUCUCCAAAUUUGUGACUGAAGCUCAGAUUGACCAACCCCAUUCAUACGAAUAAAAUCAUGAAUGGUCAAUCCGGUGAACCCAUGAUCUCUUCACUACACUGCAGUACAGAAUAAGGAUCCUCAAGAAGCACAGUUUAGGCAAGAUCAUAAUGACAUUCCGCAAGCUAUGUGCAAACUGGCAGCACACUCUAUAUGUAUGUUCAAGCUCUAUGCAAUCCAGAAGCAGAAGUCAUUAUACCUUAACCACAUACCUACUGUCAUUUUGCAUUAACCCAACUUUUGCUCGAAGAUAAGCAAGAAGGCUCUAACGCAAAAUUCUCCAAUCCAACCAACCCACAACUAGUUUUUUGCAAGUAGGAAAUGCAAAUGCAAUAAAAGAAAUGUCCAACAGUAGCAACACAACAUACAUGGACCUGUGACAAAAACAUUUUACAUAACAUAUACAGAACAUGCUUUAGUAAAACAAUAAACUUAUUCCAUCUGCUUACAUCAUCGAUGCCAGGAACCUUUGGAGGAGCAUAUUUCGUAUGGUAAGUCCUACCACUAGGUGGAUGAAUCCAACGACCAGUAAUUCUCUCCUCCAGUAUGGCAUCAUCAAUCGCAAAGUUUAGCACCUUGUCAAUCUUAGUACCUUGCUUGGUCAGCAUCUCAUCAAGCUGCAUUUGGAAUCAGGUGAUGAAGGGGCAAAGUAGGUAAAAGCUCUGAAAACAAAGGACUUGUAUUUAACUCAUCAAACAAUGAAUCUAGCAUUGGAGUGAAGAGCAAAAAGCAUAGAAAACUUGCCUUCUCAGCUUGAACAACUGUCCUUGGAAACCCAUCAAGAAUGAAACCCUUUUGGCAUGAUGGUUUUUUGAUAGCCUCAUCAAUAAUUCCAACAACCAAGUCAUCAGAAACAAGCUCCCCCUGGAAUACCAAGAGCCAAAGAAUUGAUCAGUAAUGAAAAUAACUUUUUUUGGUUCAAAUUUCAUUUAUUUUAAGAGGAAUACCUUAUCCAUAGCUUCUUUAGCCUUAACCCCAAGAGGGGUCUUAGCAGCCACAGCAGCUCUUAACAUGUCACCGGUGGCCAAGUGACACAAGCAAUAUUCAUCCUUAAUAAUAGGAGAUUGGGUACCCUUCCCAGAACCAGGUGGACCUGGAAUGUUAAAAACCCCAUGAAAGUUGAACAGACACUUAGCACUCUUUCUACCCAUGCAUAAGAAAGUGGAAAGCGUGACUUCACCACAUAUUAGCACCAUAAAAAGAAAAAAAAAACAGUUCCUAUUACCAAAUAUGCAAAUAGGAAAUCUGAAAAGAUAAUUUAGACAUAGAUGAAGAGAAGACAAUAGAUAAAUCCUCUAUAGUAAGGUCCAAUACGACUUUGCGAAAAAUAUACUUUAAUCAUGCACAGCAAAAGUGUUGAAAGUGAAGUCAUCAUAAUGAAAUUUUAAAAAAGAAACUAGCAGUUGUAUCAGAACAUCUGGCUUCUCUAACACUUCAAAUAACAAGAAAAAUAAGCUCAGACCAAAAACAUAGAGUAAGACGCACAAGAAGAAAUGAAGAAAACAAACAAUGCAUUGGAAACAAUGCCAAGCCAUUGCCCUUGGAUAUGCCACAUAACAAAAAGAAGAGGUUGCAUUUUUCUUUUUGUUGAUAAAUGAAUCAAUUUUUUUCAUUCAACUGUAUUUAUGAAAUAUGAUAUUUUUUUUAAAUUUUAGCCUAGGAUUUGGAAUAUAAGUUUCAGCUUCUUUAGUUUUGGCUUGAAGUUAUGACCAAGAACAAAAAUAUAGGAAAUGCAUGACCCCACAAUUAGUUCUGAUUGGGGUGGGGGGGGCGGGUUGGUGGAGGGGGAGGGGGAGGGAAUACUGUUAACUGUGUGUUGAGUAUUUUAGGCUGGAAAUUUUGACUAAGAAACAAAGGAUCAAGGAUACUAGAUUAAUAUCAAUUUCCCGAAUGGAAUAGUUCAUGUCACCUCUCAGACACAAACAACCAUAAAUAUCUAUGCACAUCUCUUUCAAAGAUUCAUACGAUAUAAUUUUAAAAUUAACAACACCCAACAGUAUAACAUUGAAGCAAAAUUAAUCAAAAAACUAUACAAGAGUUUUAUAUUUAUAUUUCUAAUAAAAAUAUAUUUACGAUAUUGCAACAACAUAAACUCUAAUGCUUGGUACAACAUAGGGCAUCCAUUGAAUAAAAAAUAAGUACUACAUUCCACCGCAAGCGGUUAUUAUUCACUUACUCGGUUUCAAACUUCAAUUACAAUUAACUUCCCAACGAGAGAACUAGAAAGAGAAUAAAUUGCAAAUGGAGAUAGUCAGUUUACGUAAAAAAUAUCUGAUUCCGGAAAUAAAUACCUUUUGACAUUCACAUGGUCAAUAAUCCUAUAUUUUCUGAAAAGAUGCAUCAUAUUAUCCGAUGUAUCACUUCCAUCUCUCAUUUCUUUGACCAUGUGCUCGACGAAGUGGGUGAUUGGGACCACUACUUUAAGAAAAGAAGAGGAAAAGAAUAGAUCAAAGCUUUUGGAGUUCCUAUAUCUCUCAUAACUCUUUGGUUUAAUAUUGGUCUUAAACAAAAUUUACAUGUCUCGACAAAACAAAACUUUUUCGAGAACAAUAUAAGAAUCUGUAAAUCAUUAUUUUUCGAGCAACCAUGAAUUUCGCCAUUGGUCCCAUCCAAUCCAUUGGUCAUAAUUUUGCCUCUCAUGUCUACAUGACAUCUAGGACUAGCCGCAUUCAUUCCUCCACAUAACAGUCAAACAAUUUCAGUUUCCUUGUUUCAGUGGCAAAGCAGACAUCCACACAACAUAUUCAUCCCAGAUGAAGCAGCAAUAACGACAAUGAACAUAAACACCGUUCGAAAUGUGCCUCAGAGCCCUCAGGAUGAAAUCAUCCCUUGUCCUAAGUAAUCAUUGCGCAUUUCGAAACCCCAUUUAGCUGUUGUCGGGAAGCUAACGGUUGAUUUCAUCAUUUCACACUUACAUUCUUCGACUUUUCUUAAACCAAUUCGUUGAACAUGUUCUUCCCGAUUUCUCGUAUCCACAAAAGGAGGGUAAACUUUGAUAAGCGAAGGCGCAUACACGCAGAGGGAGAAUGCAAUCUAACACAAAGAGGUUACGGAGGAAGGAACCGAUACCGAUGAGGAUAAGCCGCUUGUCGGGUUUCGAUGCACACUUCAUUCGGCGGAGGAGCUCGGUCAUCAGAUCCAGCGACGGCACGUCCUCCAGAUCGACACUCCCGCCGCUCGCCAUGUCCGCCAACCCCUUCGCCGCUCCUCCUCCCGACCGAUACAAUCCCGCUUCGGCGACGACGACGCGGCAAGAUCCAUCCGAGGCGCCCCUUUUAUCGACGACGUGGGAAAGGGAAAGGUCGAUUUCUCCGUCGAGGGUUUUGUGCCGUAUUCUAUCCCGACGGUCCAACGUAAAGUACCCUAUACCUUUCAUCAUAACCGUCCAUCAUAACAAAGAGAGAGGGUUAGUUCGAGAUGGACAGUUGUUCGGUAGGCACACUGCAACGCGGUCGGCUACCAACUUCAACACCUAACCAUAAAUUUAUUUAUUUAUUUAUUUAUUAUUGACAUUAAAUAAUUUCAUGUAAUUUUUUAAGCAGAGUUUAAACAGAAAAUUGCGAUUAGAUAAUUCAUAUAAAUAAGCAAUAUACCAAAUCAAGGCAUUUACCAAAAUUAGUACAUUUCAUAGAAUUUGAAGACAAAAUGUUGACCUCCACCUCAAAAAUUGCUUGCAUACAUAAAUCGAGCAUAGGAAGCAUCAAAAGGAUUCAUUAUAGUAAAAGAGUAUGAAAGGAUGGUUUAAGAACUCCAUAAAGUAGAAUGCCAAAAAAAAGGAGGGUAGGAACACAUGAAGAUGGUUUAUAUCUUAUGACUUUGGGGUCAUUUACAAAUAGAAGCUUCCAUUGGUCAUCAAGUCAACGGAUCCUUUCUGAGUAGAACCUUCCGUUGGUUGUUGAGUCGAUGGUCAUAUCUAAUGUGCAAAAUUAUGUCUGCAAAUGACAAAAAAAAUAUCCAUCGCACAUGAUCUUAUGUGCCAAUUUAUGCUUGAGAAAAUAAUUGUAAGAUAUGAACUAAGCUAAAUCUAGGAAAAUUGAAAUAUAUCAAUUUCAUAGUGAAUGGGUGUAAGAUUGUUUAUUAUAUAUAAUAUUAUAAUUAAAUUUGCUCAUAUAUAUAUAUAUAUAUAUAUAUAUAUAUAUAUAUAGCUUAUUGCGAGAGAAUGAGGAGGUCUUUAUAGUUAGUUUCUCCGCCUGAGACUUCUAUCGGCCAGUCAGAAGAUAGCUGCCUACCGCGAGACCACCACAAUCCCAUGGCGAUAGCAGUCCGCCCGACUACGCUCUCCGCCGCCGAUCUCGCCUAGAUGGCACAACGCCGCCUCGCCGUCCUCGCCUCCCACCUCACCCAAACCGGCCCUGCCCCUCUCUCGGCCCUCGGCCCGCCUCCGGGUGUCUCCACUUCCCGCUGCUCCGGUGGCGGAGGUGGAGGCGGAGGCGAGACGGAACGGGGCGGGGAGAAGGGGUGCGUCUUUUGUCGGAUCAUUCGCGGUGAAUCCCCGGCAUUCAAGGUAGAGCCUUCCCUUUCCUUGAUCAGUUCAGGUUCUCUUGACGCCGGAUUUAGUUGAAAGGGAUAGGGUAGGAUAGGCUCUUAUGCGAUCUACCGCAGACGAGGCGCGGUUUCUUGAUGGGUUUUGGUUCCCCAUAUGCCGACUCACAUCCACGUUGUUUAUUGGUGUUCUUCUUCUCAAAUUUAACUGGAACCAUUCGGCUAGUGGAGUCCCUCUAUAAGACUCUGGCCUAAUCUGAAGUGAACAUAAGCUACUAAUAAUCAUUCGUCAGCGGACGUUGGUAACUUAAUAAGAGUGGCCUAGUUGGUCUGUUAAUGGGGAGGAGUUAGUGUUGGGUGUUUGUCGCCUUCAAACAGGUUGAACAGGAACGGGCUAAUUCAGGAGAAACACGAGUUUUGGUAAUGGAGCUUAUACUGUUAGGGAAUGGAAUGUUAGAUCGUAAUGGAACAGAUGGUUUUUCUUUAGCUUAAGGAUGCAAUUGGGGGACGAAGAGAGAACAUGUUAAAACAUUGCAUGAACAAUGUGAGAGGUGCUGUGGUAGUAGUGUGAGCCUUGAAAAAUUUUUGUUCCAGGCACCUAAGAAAACAAAUUGUUGUACAAUCUAUCUGAUAAAUUUUGCUCAAACAUAUAUUCAAGGAAGAAAAUUAGCAACAAUAUACCUUAAGAUGAAAUAAAAGCUACGAAUGAAGAAGAGCAAAAUGGUUGACAUAUAAUUAAUAGCCUUUUGUUAAUCUUUGAAUUGUUUUUUUUGUAACUGUGGUACUCGAUCUAAUAUAUUCACAUGAUGGGAAUUAUACCUCUUCCAUUCCAAACACUAAUCAUAGGCUGGAAAUAUGCAACUUGGGAUCUUUUAUUAUUUCCAUUAUUGAUCUUGAUUGCUUACUCUCUUUUUAUUGUUUGCAGCUAUAUGAGGAUGAUGUAUGCAUAUGUAUAUUGGACUCUAGCCCAUUGAGCAUUGGGUAAUGUAUAUCUACAAUUUUAUGAUUAUACUUUCCUUGAGUGCAAAUGUGCAAUAUAAUUUUCCAAACUUAAUGCUAUGACAUUCCAAACUUAUGCUUUCCUAAAGUUUUGUAUCGGUUUUGUAAACAUUAAGGUCUAAUGUUUGUUCUGAACUCUUCUAUUUGCAUUUUUUUUUUCCUUUCUGUGAAUAUAUCCAUAAAUCAUUGGCUUACGGUGAGAUAUUCUUUUCCCAGUCCUGAGUAGGUGGAGUUAAAGAUGGGUGGCAAUCAUUAAAUUAAGACUGCUAGCCUGAUUAGACUUAUUUAUUGCUAAUUAUUGGGUGUAUCAGUCAGGUCCUAGUAGAAGAAGGUUGAUUUGCUAACAUAGAUUCAGGUAAAAGUAAAACAUUCUUAGAUGCCAUGCUAAUCUUUUUCACCCUACAAGUAGCAUAAAGCUGGACUUGAGCCACCAAACCAACCAGAGUUAACUUGUUUCAAAAUUACAUGAUCUUGUACUAAGCCGCCUUUCUACGGCAAUUGGUGAUCUAUUUAGAGUUUUGAGUUCUCCUUAAAUCGCAUUUCCUGACUUGAAAAUAAUCCAAAAUAGCCUGGUUGCUAUAACUUAUUAUCAUGUUAGAGCAUUCAUUAGUGUUUCUUAUGCACCUAGAUUUUAUAGGUUAAUGCAUUGUGAAAACAAUUCUGGAGAGAACAAGUCUCUGCAAGUCUGACUUUUCAAGUUAUAUUGGGGGUAGUAAUGAUUGACAGAAACAAGCAAAGAUACUUAAAUAUAGCUUGGUUGGAGGCAUCACUUAUGAGCCAGGAUCUGUCUCAGUGGUAGGUUGGAUUGAGCUCAGGUGAAGUUCAAUUUCCAGGUACACUGAGGAUUAAUCAGACCUAACUUGAUUGUACCGAGAGAGUAAUAGGGUAACCAAUCUUGUUAAAAUGCUUCAUCUUUAUCAGCCAUCCUGACUCUUUUCUAUCUGACCCAAUUAUUAUAAAGUUUGGGUUACAUGGCUCUGGUUAGGAACUCAACAUGUUAGUGGCAUGGACCGGUUCUAGUAUUACAACCACCUGAAACCUCAUCAAUUCAUUACCAAACGCUAUGUCUAAUAAGCCAUGCACCUGUCUGUUGCCUUGAUGAUAAUAAGCAAGCAUCAGAAGAUAAAACUUGAAAACAGCUUGAUCUUGGCAUAGAAGUUUCAAAUAAUAAAAAUGGGAUCAUACCCUAGUUUUUUUUGUAAAUUAUAUUGUUGGAUUUCUUUGGUUUUAUAUUCACUCUUCAGCGUCCUUUUUCUUGUGUAGGCACUCCCUUAUCAUUCCAAAGUUGCAUGCUCCUUCACUGGAAUCAACUCCACCUCCUGUGAGUUUCCUUUUUUAUGAAAGAUUAAAAUGUUGAUUCUUAGAGUAGUUUCAAGUGGUAAAUUUUACUUAUGGAUGACACUAAAUUUUCAUUUGCAAGAUGUAGAGUAAGGCUCCUUAACAAAUUGUCAAAGCUGGUAGUUGAGACAUUUAUGAUAAAAUUACAUUUUAUAAAUUGGUGAUAUCUCUGGUCUUGUGUGAUUAUUUUAUGUUUUGCCUUGCUGAUCUCACAUUGUGGAACUACUUAGUUGUUUAAUUUGUUUCUUCUGUUGAUCUAUCGUAUUGAUAUGAUAAAAGUUUGCAACUUUGCUAACGGAUGUCUUGCAAAUUUCUCUGUGUAAUCUGCUUGAGGAGCCAUACUGAUGGUUGUGUUCAUUUGGAGUGCAGCCCUUUAAAGCCGUGUAUGUAGAUGAACAUUUAGUUACAUAUAGCAUAUGAAUUAAUGAAUAAAGUGAAAUACAGUUUCAUGUGUUGUUUGAUAUCUGUUGACUAUGCUAGUUAAAAUGUUUUGCCUCUUCUUUCAUUAAUAAGUCCCUUGGUUUACGAGCUUGAAUGGUAAUCUUUAUACUACUAAUGGAUAGAUACCAAAGCUAAGAAAUAUUUCUUACCCCAGGUUCAUGCCUUGGCGAUGCACUAGCCGUGGUAACAGUGCAUGCUGCAUCACUGCCAUUGGUUCAGCCUUGGAAGUGCAUGCUCCUUAGAGAAUAAAUGAAUUAUUUUCUUCUCUUUACUAGCUGUCCUAUCAAAGAAAAGCCAGGUCUAAACUUUCAAACAUCAAAAAAUGUCCAAUUCGUAUUCUAGCUGUGUAACUGAAAAGGAAAACAUGGGAAAACACUCAUGGAUUAAAGGCAUCCAUCUAAACAUUCUGGACAGCAUCGAAAGUCUGCAACUCUCUCUGCAAGAUUGAAAUCUUGCAAUGACAUUGGUAUAUUGUGAACUGACGUGAUCCUUCGUCAUGUUUUUUUCCCUAAGCUCUAUUGAUCCCUCAACUUGGUUUCUCAUCUAAAAACUUGUGCAGUCAGAAUUUGCGUAUACCUGUAAAAGAUGCUUUAAAGUUGACAAGCUUGAGAGAAAAGAUGGACGGUUGUAUCAGUUCAAUUCUGAAUUUGAUACCUCUGGCUGAGCUCAUAGUUUAACAUCAUCCUUUUCUAUAACAAGGAUUUCUAUCCUUCUUACGAAGCUUCUGUUCAUCAUUUUUACGUACUUAUGUCCUCAUGGUUAAAGCAACUUGCAAUUUGUCAUUUAAUGGAAAAAAGUGGAGAAGGAUGUUUUGCCACCUAAUGUUUCCAUGUUGUUUUUGAUGCAGGUGGUAGCAGCCAUGUGUUCCAAGAUACCAAUUCUUAGCAGUUGUAUCAUGAAAGCUACUCAGUCUGGUAGGUGGAACAUAUAUAAGAAAUCUCUCCUGAUUAAGCAUCUGUUUUUCUUUUUUUAUGUUUUAUAUAUUGAUGCCAUUUAACUGAUAGAUGAGAUAAAUAGUACAACUUCCACUUUUCACCCUGAUCAACAAAUGCUUUCAUUUUUCUUUCUCGGAGAGAUGAUACUGUGGAAUGCCGAUUCACCCUGGUCAUUGUUGGUGCUUAAAAUCAACCUCUGUUCCUUGGUUUUUGAUCAAAGGUGUAUUUAUCAAAUACUUGUUAUUUAUUGUAACAAAUGUAGCUUGAUUGUGCAUCUGCUGGACACCUGAAUGUUCCAUUAGUUUUAUUUGGACUGUUUCUAAAUUUUUUGAAUCUUAACACUAUGGUAAGGUAACACCUACGCAACUCAGUUUAUUAGAGUUUAGGUCAUGGAGACCACAGAUAAUGCUACGUAAAUUGAUUUUUGUUGAACCCCACGUAGAAGCCUUGUGCAUUAGGCUGCUCUUUUAACAAGGCAAGUCUUGGCACCAUAGUAAGUCUUCCUCUGUGACUUGUGUAGCCAAAUUUAAAUCAUGGAAAUAACAUCUUGACUGGGAAAAUGACGGACAUUGGCGCGAUCUAUACCUUGCACUGGUGGGAGACUCAUGUAGUGGGCCCCUUUUUCACUGCUCUGGACCAUUCUAAUCCACAUGGAAUUUCUACUUUGAGCUUUCAACUAGGUGAUUAGAUGUAUUUGAAAGCAUUUUAUUCUUGCUGCUCCAACUCCUGCUUCCAUUUCGAGACAAAGACUAAUUACCUUACAUUUUGUUUUGCCAUAGCCGUCAUUUUUUUUUCUUUUUGGCUUUAUUUUCAAGUUCUUCAUCACUAUCCUUCCUCACAUUGUUUUACUCUCUUUUGAUAUAACCAUGCUCCUGUUUCUUCUUCGUCGUAGUACCUGCUAUAGAUACUUUUGGCAUCUUAACAUUCUCAAUAUCUUCAUUUUGAUCAAGUUGAAUAUGAAGUCAAACUGAUCUCUCUCUUCGGUUACCCACCACACACAACAGGACACAUCAUUAGGAAAUAUUCUGUUCCAUAUCUCAAGCCACCUGCUUCCGGAAAUCAUACCGUUUGUUCUGACUGCCCUCUGUUGAUAGCACUUUUCUGAUCAUUUUAUACAAGAAUUACUUUUUGAAGUGUUUGGUUACAUUUGAUUUACUCGUGAAAUUUGCAGAUUCAUUCAAUUUAUUGGUCAACAAUGGAUUGGCGGCUGGGCAAGUAAUAUUUCAUGUGAGUACCCAAUUAUAAGUUAGAUCAAUAGCCUCAACAGAUAGCAUCAUAUUGUGAUGGCUGUACAUUUAACUGAUUUAACCUAAAUAUGCUGCAGACUCAUCUCCACAUAAUUCCUCGGAAAACAGGAGACAAGCUAUGGCCUUCUGAGGUAACACAGUAUAACUCCGAUCAUUUUGCCGAUGUUAAUUCAUUUACAAUUCAGACGUAUGACAUGCAGAGUUUGAGAAGGCAACCCAUCGAAGCAUACCCAAAAAUCGUCGACCUUGUGAAUUCAAUUCAAGAUCUGGUUUGUUCUCUAUCCACUGAUAGCUGCCUAUCUGAUGCAUGGAUUGCUGCCAAGAUUAGGAAUCACAAGUGAAUGGAAUUUUGUAUAUAUGCUCUGUGUUGUUAUUGUUUAUUCAAAUUAUAUUAAACACAGCGAUCAUUUCUGAAGUCUGUAACGUGGGAAUUAAAGAUUGACAGCAAGUGCAAGACGGUGGGAUUCUCUGAGCUCUUCCAUUUCUUUUUCUUCCCACCAAAAUAGACUCAUGUAUGAAUCGAGUACAGAGGUGACAAUAAAACCUACCUCUUUGAUUUCUACAUCAGAUUUAUUUUCAUUAGGGAUUUUCCUAUCAUUAAUUAGUGAUGGGUUUAGCUUUAUCACAUCGAAUGCAGAGUUAUAAUGUCGAUUUUAAAUUUAGGUUAUUAAUUCUAAGAUUGAUUUCUUGACAUCAUAAACAAUAAAACUGGGACAUGAUGUGCAAUUUUCUUACCAAAGCCAACAAGAUUGGCAAAAAUUGUUACAGAAGAAAUGUGAAUUCAUCUUCUAUUUCUUGACUAAAAAAGAUCAGAUCCCUUUGCAGGUUCCUACUGAGUGAUCAUUUGGUUGCCCUACAUUGGCUACAUGACAUGAAGGGUUGAAGGAUCACAGUACUAGUGCAGGUAAUAAUGCCUCAAGCAAAUGUCUAGAAUUUGUACUGAUCAGAGACAUCAAAGCUCAUGACCAUGGGAAUAUUAUAUUUUUCACAUCAGAAAGACCUGCUUACCACAUGUGAACUGAGUCCAUCAACAGUGACUACAUGGAGACCCUGCCACAUACAAACAAAACCCAAUCAGACCACAAUCUAGAAAUUAAUUACAUAGAAACAACUGGGACCAAACAAGUUUGUCUCCAUCCAGUCCACAAUUAUUCACUGGUUUCUUCUUCUGCUAGUUGCACAGAAGUUGGGAUUCCUUUGUCUGAUGCAACUGAUGCUGACUCCAGUAGUUAAUUGCAAGAGUUGGUGAAAAGUACAUGUCAUCCAUCAGUUUAGAAUUUAGACAAUUCAAAGCAUGCUUCUAAUGUUGCAGCUCUACAACCAGUAUGUACAGAUUUGAGAGAGAUUUUUCAUAAUAGAAAACAUUCCACAAAUGCACAGAAAAAACUUUUGGUAGGAAGCAGAAAUGCAUUUUAAUCUACCAUUAACAUCAUACAUGAAACAGUAUCGUCUACAUGAUGCAGGUCAUACAUGCUAGAAGAAAUUAUCAUUAUUCUCAGAAUUCAGGACCACUUGUCUUCUUCUUCCUCCUGGAUCACUGUGCCUCUGCUUCUUCAGUUGCAUCAGAUCUGAGCCUGGCUGUGCCGACUGACAGUGUUGGAGAGCAUCAUCUCAGGCAGCACAGAGUCCAGAAUUUGCUCUGCCAAGGCAUCGCACCACUGGUUGUUUGAUCAACAAGAAAUAAUUUUGAGGUUACUCCAUCAGUUGCAAAGUUUGACAGUGCAUGCCACUGUUUGGGCCCAAUAUUUCAGUCUUGCUUUAACAUCUUCAGGAUGGUCACCUAAAAAUAUUGAGGAAGAGAAGGGAUAAUAAAGUCAAGAGGAAACAACAAAGCAGUGUGUAGGUUCACCAAAUAUGGCAUUGGAUUGGGCCAAUUGCAUCUCUGCAAAGGCCAAGCAGAUCACCAAAAGAAAUUAACCAAUAUGAGCUAAAUCACAACAUAUUUUUGGCCAUGACUAUUAUUAGCUCAUCAUGCUAAUGUAUUUUGUUUUUCUGGAGUUUACAGGUUUUGGUGUUACCUCAAAUUGGUCUUGAAAGAAUCUUGAAAGAUCAGUAUUAGCUGAUCAUAUAGAGAACCAUGAGGAAAAUUGGAGUUAUUGCUGGAUUCAUUAAGUGGAAUCAUUCGUUACUAAUGCAUACGACCCUCCAUAAAGUUCGGAUCUUUUCUUCCGGAUCGGAAUCUCCCAUCAGGGCAAUCGAGCGAGAUCCUCUGAAAACCAGAUCUUUACGCGACAAGAAGAGAAGAUGGAAUCUUACCCGGACUGGAGAUCUUCCAGUUGGCGACGGGAGGCGCAGCGCACGGCUCCGCCGCCACGGACGCUUCGCCCGCCGGCUCCAUCAGUCGACUCAUGGAGUAGCAUAGCUCCAAGGCGGGGAGCGUGCCGCGGAGCUCCGGGAUCUCCUCGUAGCUGAAGCCGAACCCCAGGUCCAAGCACCCCUUGAGCUCGUCCAGGUCGUCAUCAGUGAGGCUCCUCGUCCUCCCGACCACGUCCGCGCCGUCCGCGACUUUCGCGCUCCGACCCGCUCCCUCAGGCACUUCCACGUAGCCCUCGAGCGUGACUCCUCCGCCGGGCCGGCUCUUCCGCGGCCACGCAGCCUUCCACGCCUCUUCCAAUCCCAUAUCCUCCACCGCUUCUUCCAUCCUCCUCUGAGCCUGCUUCUUCGUCUUCUUUUUCUUGCCGGCCCUCUUAGGACUCACGUUAGGGUUUAGAGUUGGGAUCGGCACAGGGCACGCCGCUUCGUCCGAUGAACUCCCCAUCUCUCUCCGUCUCUUUUGGGGGCGGCGAUAGCGUGGUUUUAAAUGGGCUAAUGAGGGUAUGAUGCCGACAUAAUGGUAUUAUGAUAUUGAUACGGUAUUAUUAUAUGAGGUUGGAUUUAAUGGGUGAGGGAGAACGAUAAAAGGAUGGAUUUUAUUUAUUUAUUUAUUUUAUUAUAUCAAAUCAUAUAUAGUAUGAAGUUUUGUUAUAUAAUAAUAUAUUAACCAAUUUAGAUGUUUUAAUAAAAAUAAUGAUAGAGUGAUUUUAAUUUUAUAGGAAGUGUAAAAAUAAUAUUAUUAUCAUAAAAUUAUUUAUUAUUAUUAUUAUUAAAUUAUAAUUUUUAAUUUUUUGAAUCAAUUAUACGGAUCUCUUGUCGAUAUUGAAAUAUAUAAAAAAUCAUACGCUUAGUUAAGAUUAUGAUAUUUUUUAUAUUAAAGUUUUUAGGAUCUUACUCUACUUUUUUUUACUACUAAUAUUAAUUAUUUUAUCUUUUUUUAUUAUCAUAUUCAGAAGCCUGAUAUAUGUUUAUCACAUUUUAAUUGAUGUUUUCUCGUAUUAUCUUCUAUCAAGUGAUACUUAGUUGUCCAUAGAUAAAAGUAUUUUUUUUUUCCUAUCUUUCUUUGUAAUUUCACAUAUUCAACUCAAUAUUCUCAAAUCUAUUAAGUAUUAUUGAUCUAAAAAUUAUCUUAUAAUUUUUUUUAAUCUUAAAGAUAUCCGACGAUACUCUUGAUGUUCCAGUCAUUUUAACCAUCACCUUUUUAGUUUAUGAAUGAUAUAUUCAUUGAUCUCUUCAUUUUGUUGAAUAAUUUAUACAAAAUAGAUACUCAUUGUCAUGUUAUUCUUAAAAAUAUUUAUAUUAUCAUCUUUAAAAUUUGAUCAUCGGAAUCAGAACUUUAAGGUCUUUGAGGACAAUGCGAAGAGAUAUGAAACGAAUAAUAAGUGAGAAAUAUCAAUUGAUGAAAAAUUUGAGACGGAGAUAAAGGAGCUGAUAAACAUUAUUUAUUUUCUUGAAGUAUUAAUAACAAACAAAUGUAAACAGGCAGUGUUAAUUUCAUCACUGCUUAGUAAACCAAGAUCAACUUCAUUAAGCAAAAUUGGCAUGCUUAAUGAUUCAAGAACUACGUGAUUGAGAUGUGAAAUAUGAAUAAUAAGAACCACAAUGCAAAAAAAAAAAAAUCCUUCAUAUCUUUAGGAAACAUUUAAUGACUCUCUUUUCAUCAAGUGCUCGAGACAUUAUAGCUUACUAUCAUCGUUGUUAUUGUGUUACUACACAAGCAAAUAACCCUAAAAAAAGAUAUCACAACAGUGGAAAGCAGCAAAGGAUUGGAAAUUUAAUUGAGUGGCACGUAUAGCCUGUGAUAUAUUUUCUUUUGCCUUUACCAUUAUCAAGAGAGCAUUUUAACGUGGUGCUUGUGACAUGCUGCUGGCUUUUUAGUGACAGCUUUCUUGGCCUCCAACCUAACUGGCUCUCUCUCUCUCUCUCUCUCUCUCAGGCUUUGUCUUCUCUCAACGCCACAUACAGCCAUGUCCAAGUACAGGACCCGGACAUAUAAAUCGCUGUCACGACGACAUUGCUGUUCUGCCGAUCUCUCCGGGCCUUGCAGGGAGGAGGAGGGUAGGGCUUGAAAGCCAGAGAAGGAGAUGACCACGAUGAGAGAAAGAAAUAAUAAAAUCUCACAGGAUGAAAAUGAUCAUCAUAUCUUACUCACAGGAAGAGGUGGUAGCAAUCGAUUGUAUAAGAGUAAUUUCAUCUUUUGGAUAAUCUCAUAUUUUUAUAAAAUAACAGAUAUUAGAAUAAAAUUAAAAAAGCGACAUUCUAUAGAAAAAUAAAAAUAAAAACUGGAGAUUUUUUUUUUAUAUAAAAAUUACCCUAUAUAUAUAUAUAAUAUCAAAAUCAAAGAAAACAAGGAAUCAGGUACUCCUUUUGAGCUGGUAGAAGCACUGCCGUAGUCGACAGCAAGGCCAUGUUGACUGAGAGUUGAAAAGCAGGCAUGCACACUAGUAUAAAGCAAGAACAAAACCGUGCGGCUUUUGGCUAGAAACAUGUUCUUCUACAGCAGACAAGUCUGAAACAUUUCUCUGGUCUGCGCAAAGUACUUGCUCCUAAUUUGGACCUUAUGAACACAUCAUUCAACAAUGUCACCAUUGUGCUAUAAAAUGACACCACUAACACAGAAAUCACACCGAGAAUGAGAUUCCAAAUAAUAAAGGUCAUCCUUGAUAAGAGUCUGUUGACCUUAUUUGGCCUUGAUAAUAGGUCUUUAAAUAUAUUACUCCACUUUUAAUAAACUAGCCAAGCAUCAUCGAAUAAAGUAAGUUCCGGGCACCUCAGGUUGCUGCUGCUGCUUAUCAAUCAAACGACACCUUGUGCACAAUCCUUGCUCCUCUUGAUUUUGCCACGUAGAGUCCUAUAUAAUGAAGCACAUCCUGCAGGAGCAGUAAGCAGAGCUCUAUACUAAAUCUCCAGCGUGACACAUCAUUAGUAGAGACGGGAAUUAAAGAUCGAAACUGUCACGCAAUUCUAAGUAAUAUUUUGAUCCUACCAUAUAGUAUCAAAAGCAAGAUGACAAAAAAGCAGGUUAUGGCAUUAACUUUGUCGGUAAAGAAGCAAUGCUUACAGAAAGGAUUACGAUUACGGUCCCACACGAGGCUAAUAAUGCUAUUAAGAUAUGCAUGCAACCUUUAGAUAUCAAUAAGUCGACUCCAAUGUAGACGUAAAAAUGAAGUGCUAGAAUCUGAUUGAAGGGUGUCUCUAUCAUGACAUGAGCAGUCACUUCCACUACAUCUGACUUUUUAGGUCUUAGUUCAAUGUAAAUCAUCGUGAAUGAAUCAUCAUAUAUGUAUGAUGUGGAAAUACAUGAUUCUUUCAAGCUAUUUCUCUUUCGUUAAGGACUGCAAUGACUUGGUAAAAUCCUCACCGCAAAUUUAGAAUUUUAUUAGAUGGUCAUUGCUAUUUGUUCUUAUAUUGGUAGCUGCUGUCAACAACUGUUCAUCCUAAAUUGCCUAAUUAUGCUGAGAUCAACAUCUAAGCAAUUAUCUUUUGCUGACAAGCUUUUCUUUUGAUUACGGAAGAAGUCAUAGUAAUCUUCCUAAGAGUGUAAAGGUGUGUUGUCUCAGUCGUAUGAGUGUAACAUUAAACCAUCCCUACAAGUUUAGGUGUUCAAACCUGAGGAUGGGCCAAAGCUCCCUUGAUAUUUCUUGCAACAUGAAUUGGAAGGUCAUGUGUUGCACAACCUCGUGCAUAAACCACAACAUCUUCCAGUGGUGGAACCAGGCCUAUAUUUCUAGCAGAGAGCGUGGAACAUACAAAGUCCAACACGCAGAUAUCUGUGCAUACUCCUACCACCAAAACCUGCACAAUGGGAUUAACAAACAAUAUGACUGUCAUCCACAUCUCCAUUCUGGAAUAACAAAAAGAUCAAUCUGCGAUUAACCAGGAGUUAUUAUAUAUCUCAACAAAUGUGUGUGUAGGAAGAUCGAUCACUUACGACUCUGAUUUCAUUUCUUUUCACCCAAUCAGAGAAUGCAUUAGAGCCAUCCUUCUCCAUUGAACCAAUGAAGCCAUCAAUACAAUCUUUCCUUCUCACAGUAAAAUUUGGAUCCUUCUCCAGCCAUUUCAGAGCUGCAGAAAUACUUAAAAAGGAAAUCAGUUGUUUCGAAGCUGUCAAUUUAAGCUUAAAACUUGAGGACAGGCACAGGUUUGAAAAGAAAUAACAUUCACGAAUGCAAAAGGCAAGGAAUAAUACCAGGGACUAAUCUCUCUUCGCCUGAACCGAUGACACAAUGAGGUGGAUACGGAGGCUCGGGCUUGCCCGGAUAAUGGGUGUCGAGGAGAGCAAAGAUAGGCCAGUUUCUGGCCGAGAACAUCUUGGCCAGCUUUGCAGCCUCCUCCACCAUCGUUGCUAUCUGAUCAUUGGGCUCAGUUGGAGCCUUAUAUGGAGAGCAGAUCACAUGAGAUCAGAGGUAUAAAUUGUUCGACAAAAUGUUUUCUACUUCAACAAAAUAAUCAAAACAAAUACUUCCUAUGCACGUUGAACUGAUCAAAAACCUCAAAUCGAUAUCAAUUAACCAUUAGGCUGAACUCGUAUCGAAUACUCACAAAAGCAUCAGACUUUAUAAAAUGGAAGCGAAGCAAAUUACACUACAAAGAUCACGCCUUUGCUUUUAGUUAGAGCUUAGUCCGGUUGAGUUCAGACCAAAGUUAAACUCUCGCCGCAGAGAUAACGAAUCAAGAAAAGAAAACUAACGCUAAAAGGACACAGAUAAAACUGCUAAAGGGAAACAAUUUACUGAUACUAGAAAGCUAGACCUUCAGACAAACGAAAAAAUUGGGAAAACACAAAACGUUCCAAAUUCAACGAUUAAAAAUGUGUUCCAUAUAUCAAUAUACAUGAAUCGCAGAGAAGAAUAUGCUUCUCUUCAUAACAACAAAAAAUCUCGCUCAUAUGAACCUUCAAUCAG
Molecule: long non-coding RNA, 63217 nt
Filed under: Musa acuminata (dwarf banana)
Lineage: Eukaryota; Viridiplantae; Streptophyta; Magnoliopsida; Zingiberales; Musaceae
Description: long non-coding RNA (MACU_LNC003154)
Source: RNAcentral